This 80775-nucleotide long non-coding RNA is filed under the name Ananas comosus (pineapple). RNAcentral describes it as "long non-coding RNA (ACOM_LNC012714)". Lineage: Eukaryota; Viridiplantae; Streptophyta; Magnoliopsida; Poales; Bromeliaceae. The record is from RNAcentral.
AAAAAAAAAGAAAGAAAUAUCACCCUUCUGAUUUCGUACUUUCUCAUUUUAGUAUUCUGUGAUUUAAAGUGUAUCAAUUUAGUAUUCUAUGACUUUAUUUUUUUUUGUUCAUUCCACUAUUUUUUUUUCGUUAAAUCAGUGACAAAAUUAAAAGUAAAAGAUACUAAAGUGAAUAGUCAAAAUCUAGGUGGGGUAUCUGAAGUUUUUCGUAUAUAAUUUAACGAAAAAUUAACGGAGGAGCUUACGAAAAGAAAAAAAUGAAACCACAGGGUACUAACUUGAUACACUUUAAAUCAUAUAGUACUAAAGUGAGAAAGUGUGAAACCAUAGGAAUGAUAUUUGAAGUUUAUCCAAAAAAAAAAAAAAAAAACACUAAGUGAGUUGGCUUUUAGAUGAGAGAAUAUUCUUUCACUGUACAGCUAACCGUCUGAUGGUAACAACCGUCGUUAGAGAAUCUGCAUAAGCAUCUCUGAAAAUAACACUAUUCUUUAUAUCCCAGAGGACCCACCACCAGACUAUCAAAUUGGUCAAUCUAGCUCGAAUAUGCCACGAUCUGUUUUAAAAUUUAAAUUUCUGGCGAGAAAUGUUAAGGAUUUGAUUUUUGAAAUUUCAAUUUCAAAAUUUAAUUACUUUAUAUUUGUCUUUUUUUUAAAAAAAUGAACCAAUUGUGCGGCUUACUUCCUUGCUGUCUUUAGCUUCCCAAAAUAAUAAUAAUAAUAAUAAUAAUAACAAAACUGCAGAGACAGUGAAGACGGAAGCGAGAGUUUGGAACACUCUCCGCCUACGCGUGAACAGAAAAUGAAAUUGGCCGGGCCAUCAAAUUUCUGUUCCUUCUAAUGUGGGGUAGCACGGUAACGUACAUUUGCAAAUUUUCUUAAUCCACGCCGUUGACAAGAUGCAUUCAAUAAUAUAAUAUAAUAUAGGCUAUUACAAUGUUAUUAGAUCUGAAGCUUAAAUAUGUCCUGCUUUUUACUCUGUCAAGCUUUUCAACAGUCGUAUGAUGUUGUUGAACAGAUUCGAUCGAGAAAAUUGUAAAAAAAAAAAUCUGCCUUAGACUUUCGGACCCGUACAAUCCAACCACGGUAGACGUGGCCAAACGUCGACCGUGGCAACGCUACAUCAUCGUCUGUUCCACGAGCAAAACAGGAACUGUACUCCCAUUUUACCAUAACAACAUCUCAGGAUUAGCAUUCAAUUGUUACCACUUUGUAAUAAUUAAGGCAACUAUGGAAUCAUCAUCUCAUUUCUUUCUCCUCCUACGCCUUCUUAUUAUUCUCUGCAUUUCACCUGUAGCAAGAUCAGAUGAGCCUCUAGGCAACUUUUGCCGCGCCGACGCGAACUACACGGCCAACAGCACCUUCCAGGCUAACCUCGACCGUGCCCUCUCCUCCCUCCCCUCCGCCGCAGCCCCCUCCGGCUUCGCCAACACCACUGUCGGUCAAGCGGGACCCGAUCAAGUCCACGGCCUCGCCCUCUGCCGCGGCGACGUCUCUUCUGCCGACUGCUUGAGCUGCUUGAAGAACGCCACUAACGAUAUUGUUGCCGAAUGCCCACACGGUGCCGGGUCGGUGAUAUGGUAUAUAUGCACCGUGACACAGACCGCUUUUCUCUAAAAUCUUAAUCAAUUCGAGAGUAGUGUUUUUUUUCUAAUUCAUCGUUUGGGAUAAAUACAAGGAAAUUAAAUGAGGCUACGUAGAUCUGUUAUUUUUGGUUUAGAUUUGUAGUUAUCUAAAUUGAGAAUAAAUCCUAAUCUAAUCGGGAUUAGAUAUUAUUUAGAUUUAAUUUGGCAUAUAUGGAUUAUAAUUAGAAGUGUAAUUCUAAUUGAAUUAGAAUUAGACUCUAAUUAGAAGACAUGUAUUAUAUAUACAUGCUACGGCCAAGUUAAUGAGGUCGCGACCAAAAUUAAGAAGCCAUGCAAACUUGAUUAAGAGCAUGUUGAUGGUCUGUACAGAUGAAGCCGGAUUUCUACAGUGAAGCCAAGCCUAAUUAAGUUUAUAAUUAAGUCCAAGCCGCACUUCGUGCUUAUUUGGGGCUAGUGAUCACGUUGCGGGGAUCCCUCUUUGGAGAUCUAAUUAAAGGAGAGACCAUGCAGAUUAAUUAAGUUUUGUGGUCCAUCCGUACGGUUGAGGAGCCGACUUAUUUUUCCGGAGUUGCUUGUUGCGGCGUUUCCGAUCUAAUUAAGUUUUGGUCUUUUGGGAGAUUCUCGUUGUACUCCGCCUUUUUCGACAUUAAUAAAUUAUUUGCUCCGUCUUCGCCCGUGGACGUAGGCCGUUGGCCGAACCACGUAAUUAUCGGUGUGUUCUUUCCGCUUAUCUUUUCUUUUUUUGCAUUAAGUUAUUUUCUAGAUCUAUUUUUCGCCGUUCCGAUUUUAACAAGAUCUAAGUGUCGUAAUCGUUUAUACUCAACAACAGGUACGACAGCUGCAUGCUCCGCUACAACAACAUCAGCAUCUUCUCGGUGCUCGACAGUUCGUUCAACAUAUGCAUGCCAACUCCGGCCAAGGUGUCGACGCAGCCGCAGCUGUUCGACAACUUGCUAGGGAGGCUGAUGGACAACCUCACGGUCACCGCCGCACAAUCACCGGAGAUGUUCGCCUUUGGCGAGGUGAACUUCACCGAAUCCAAUAAAAUCUACGGGAUGGCGCAGUGCACGAGAGACUUGUAUAGCGUUGAUUGCUACAGAUGCUUAAGGACUUUUGUGGAGGAUAUCCUAAGUUGCUGCGAUGGGAACCAGGGGGGGAGGGUGCUCGGAAGAAACUGCGUCCUCAGGUACGAGCUGUAUCAGUUUUACAAUGCGUCGGCGCUACAAAAUGCGGCGGCGCCGUCCGAGGCAAACGCAGCUGCACCACCCAAGGCGAGCGGUAAGUCCGAGCCUUUAAAGUGUGAUUUUUACUGCAACACGUACAGUUCGUAUCUUGUAUUUCAUACCUAUUUUCAGCUCUAUUAAUUUAGACAGAAUAGAUUCAAUGUAUAAUUGGUUUCUUCAGUUUAAUCCUGUUUUUAAGUUUCAAAAAUCACUAUCUAACCAUGCAAGAUGUGUUAAACCCUAGCUACCAUAGUAGCUGCACAAUUAGAAUUUAAUUUAUUAAAUGCAUUUCAUAACAUUAAAAGAUUUACAUGUAUAAGAGAACGGGGCAGUGAUAUGAGGUAACACGAGGGAGAGCUUCAACUUUGGACAAAAAGACUUUUAAUUAGUAAAUUUUUAUUUUUUUUGGCUAUUUUUUCUCCAUAAAAUAUUAAUUUUCUUGUAGUAUGAUUUCAAGAACUGAGUAAGAUUACUUGUUCUUGGUGCAGGAAUCAAUAGAAGUACAAAGACAAUUAUUAUUGUUGCCAUUUCUAUAGUUGCUGCUGCUUUGCUGCUCCUCUCUGUUAUUUAUCUCUGCCUGAGAAUAAUAAGAAGGAAACGAAGAAAACCAGAAAGAAAUGCUCUGAUCAGUAAGUUGCACGCAUAACUGUAUCUUAACAUGCAAAUAUAUAAAACUUCAUUAAUCAUCAUGUACUAAGAUCUUGCUUUUCACAAAGCAAAUGGAGGAGAUGAGCAGGAAAUUAGAAUGGCAAAAGCUCUUUUGUUCGAUUUGACAACAUUAAGAGCUGCAACAAGCAACUUUUCUGAAGCAAAUAAGCUUGGUGAAGGUGGAUUUGGCCCAGUGUACAAGGUAAAAAUAUACUUUUCCUUUGUGAAUCAACUAUUUGUCUCUAUUGUAAUAGUAUACAUUCAACACUCUUUCUCACGAAACUACGGGCUCGAUGUAAUUCGAGCUCAAGAGACUUUCUGUUCUAAUACCAUGUGAAACGAUCAUUAUUUAUUUCUAAAAGCUUAAUCUACCAUAAAAUGGUAUUUUAAUAUUAUAUAUUCAACAUAUUUCAAGUGCUCCAAUGUGAGUAAUUUCCUCUUCAUUAUUGAAUGUGACUAUGUCACAUUUGCAUGCAGGGGACACUACAAGAUGGACAAGAAAUAGCAGUGAAGAGGCUGUCGAUGAGCUCAGUGCAGGGGCUAGCUGAGCUGAAAAAUGAGGUGGUGCUUGUGGCAAAACUUCAGCAUAGGAAUCUGGUGGGAUUAAUUGGUUGCUGCUUGGAAGAGCAAGAAAAGCUCCUUGUCUAUGAGUACCUGCCCAACAGAAGCCUUGAUAAGUUUCUCUUUGGUAUAGUCCACCACAUAGAUUGUUUAUUGAUAUUGCUAUUUGAUUUGAAUUAGCCUUUAUUAAAUAGAAGUGUACUCGUAUACUUGUUUUGAUAAGUGGAGUACAUUUGUCACGAGUCAGUUGUGCUUCUAUCUAUAAUAGGUUUUCUUACUUUUAGGGCUUUGAAACUUGCUGCAUGAUGAAAAAUGUUCUUAUUAACUGAACAAGUUAAUUAAGAAUUAAAUAUAUAACACUAUUUUACCAAAACGGAACAGAUUCUGUGAGGCGCGAGCAAUUAGACUGGGACAGACGUUACCAAAUCAUCAAAGGAAUCAGUCGAGGACUUCUCUAUCUUCACGAAGAUUCGAGGCUAAAGAUCAUUCACCGGGAUUUGAAAGCGAGUAACAUCUUGUUGGAUGGGUUUAUGAUACCUAAAAUCUCUGACUUUGGCCUGGCAAAGCUCUUUGAUGUUGAUUCGAGUAAAGGAAGCACGAGUCGGAUUGCAGGAACAUAGUUAAGCGCAUUUGGAUUCAUCAAAUUGUUUUGUCCUAAUUAGGAGAUGUUUAUAUAAUGUUAAAUUUUUUUUUUUUUUUAUUGCAGUGGAUACAUGGCACCAGAGUACGUAAUUCAUGGACACUUCUCGGCAAAAUCAGAUGUUUUCAGUUAUGGUGUGUUGGUUUUGGAGAUUGUGACCGGACGAAGGAACGCCCGCUCUCAAGAAGCUAUUUAUGCCGAAGACCUUCUAUCCUAUGUAAGCAUUUUCUAUACCUUAGUUGGUGGAUAAGGCAUACAUAUUUUUGUUUUACAAAUUCCGGAUUCGAAUAAGAGACGCAUUUAAAAAUAGAGUCCGGAUCUAUUUCAAAAACCUAAGUUUUAUUAACGUCCCAUGUAAUUAGGAUGAGAAAAGUACUGGACCAGUCCAAGCGACCCAAUCAAUGGGCCUACAAGGAAAAAGAAGAUAUUGUAGAUUCCUAGAAAUGUUAGAUUAUUAUAUAUCAGAAGAUAUUUUUAUUUUCAUGCUUGAUGCAAAUUAUUGAUAGUCUAUUAUUUUUGAGAAAAAGGUAGCACGCUACCUGCUUCAUUCAUUUAGAGAAUGAAUUAGGCUUACAUAAUGGAGGCAGCCGGGACCUCCGCCGGGGGAAAGAGUGUCAAAAGCCAGAAUAACAAAGACAAGAAACGAAAACGACAAGAGACUAAAACCAAAAACAAAGGAAAUGAGGGUAAGGGAAGCAAAAGCGACAAAUAACUAAAACCAAAAGAGGAAGAAAGAAAGAGUAAAAAUGACAGGCGUCAAACAGCAGGGAUCCAGCAGGGUCAACAAGGAGCGAUCCAGGUGUCAAGCAGCAGUUUCGCCCGUUCCAGGCACCGAAUAGGGUUGGGGGCAAUCUCUCGGAAAAUUAAACCAUUCCUUUCCGUCCAAACGACCCACCAAAUAGCAGAAAGAAGGGAGAGGGAAAUAAGUCUGUCUUUGGCGUCUCGUAGAUCAAUAAAUUUAGACCAGAGGUCUCUCACAUCGUCCGCUGGAUCAGACAGAGCCUCCAAGCCACCUAUGCUCAGCAAAAUGAAGCGAACAAAGACACAGGAACUCAUGAGGUGGUCGCAACUUUCCAAAUUAACGGCAUAGAAAAAACAUGUUUGAUCCGGUAGCCACCUUUGCAAACUUAUAUUAAAAAUACAUAUAUUAAUUCUUAUCAACCUCCCAACCCAAAUGCUUUGAUAAAUUACCAACAAACUUAUCAUUUCCAAAUAGAAAAUAGACAAUAUUUUAAUAUUUUUCGAAAUAUUAUAAAUCAUGAACCAAUCUAGUCUGGUUCUGCUAGUAACUGAAGCACUCUCUUAACCAGGUGUGGAAGCACUGGAGCCAAAGGACUGCACACCAGGUGCUCGACCCGAGCAUCUUGGGACGGUGCCGGCUGCAGGACGUGAUGAGAUGCAUCCACAUUGGGCUGCUGUGCGUCCAGGCUGACCCGUCGGACCGGCCGAGCAUGGCCUCCGUCGUGCUCAUGCUCAACAGCCUCUCCUCCGCCCUUCCCGCCCCGUCGGCCCCCGCUUUCGUCAUCCAGCACGGCUCAAUUGCAGGCAACGCAGAUGAGGUCGAGACCGACGCGUCCGGCGUGCUGCAAAGGCGCACGACGAGGGCGGCGUCGGCGAACGACAUCUCCAUUUCGGAAGUCGAGGCGCGGUAGGGCCUCAGAGUUGGGGAAGAUUCAAUUUGAAUAUACCGAACUGGAGUGGUAGUGCAUGCCGAAUGAGCAGCAGAAGGCAUUAUCAUUAAUUUAGAUCUACACAAACGUUGAAUACUUCAUUCGAUUCUUUGUUUUGGUAAAAAUAUAUGAAACUUAUCUUAACUGUCCACCAUUUGAAUUUGAUUAUUCAAUUUUUCAAAAUUUUAAUUUUACUAUAUAAUAUUUCAAUUUGUUUGAUUUGAGCACGCCAACCGGCACUUUAACUUUAAAAUUUGAAUACGUCGUUUAAUUCUACAGAUUUAGUUAAUAUAUUUCAUUCAACUCACAACUACAAGUUUAUUAUAUUAAGUAAUUAACUUAAAUUUUGAAUUCGAAUUAUCGUUGACUAAUUCAAAUCAAACAAAUUGAAAGGCUGGAUAUAUAGUAAAAUUAAAAUUUUGAAAGGCUCAAUAGCUAAAUUCAAAUGGCCUAUAAUUCAUAUAUAAGUUUCAACAUUUUUAUUUAUUUAACUAGUGAAGAUGUAAUUAAUAAUAGCAUAGAUGUAGGCUAAAAUUUGAAAACUUUCUUGCAUUUUAGCCUGUGUCUUAAUUAAUUUCUAUACUAAAAGUUAUUUUAAUUUUUAAAAUUAGGCAAGUAUAUUUUUAGAAGUACAGAAGUUUUCAUACUUUCUAAUUAUUUUCAAUAAUAAGACAUCCAAUUCGACAAUCAACUUUAUUAGACAUAAUUUACACUAUUCAAACUAUCUUAAAAAUAAAAUUUUAUAAUUUUUUUUAACAUCAUUUGUUUAGUGAUGAAUAGUUACAAAAUAAACACCUGAAAAUAAAAAUCAAUAGUUACAAAAUAAACACCUGAAAAUAAAAAUCUCAUAAAAAUCAUAGUAGAACACCUAAAAAUCUCAUAAAAAUCUCAUAUCGUUUGGACGUUUAAUUAAAGACGUUUCGUCCAAACAUAGAAUAAAAAGUGUUUUUAUAUUGAAAUUUUCUUAUAGUGAAUUCAACCUUCAAUCGGAGAGACAACAGUUGGCGGAUCAAACUAGAGCGCAUCAUGCGUCGGUUCCCCAUUUUUCCACCAACAGCAGGUUAAUAUUCCAUAUCCUGUUCUUUGCAGCAGCACAGCAUAUUUGCAAUAUUUCUUAACUCUUUUCCAUAAGAAUAGUUGCAUAUUAGAUCUUAAGCUUAAGUAUAUCAUAUUUUUCUACUCCAUCAAUCUUCUCAAUAAUUGUAUGAUAUUGAACAACAACUGUUUUUAAUUUAUUUUUUUUAUAUAAAAAAGGGAAAAAGAAUGGUCGUUUUGGAAUUGGAAGGUGACGGGAGAAACCACUACGCGUUUUAACAAAUUUGAUUGAGAAAAUUGUAAUUAGAAAACCGCGUCAGACAGGACUAACGCUGGACUUUCGAACGACCGCAUCCAGCGGCGGUAAGAAAACGAACCUCUUUUUCUCAAAUUUUUGUAGACUAGCCGUCAAUUCAAUAGCCAACGGCCCACCAGUCAAUGGUCCCACAUCUAAGCUUUUUUUUUUUCUUUUUUUUUUUUUUUGAUGAGAUAGGUAGCACGCUACCCGCUUCGUUUAUUUCAUUUAGAAAUAAAUUUAGCUAGAAAUGUGAAUCAACUGGGAUUCAAACUUGGGUCUCGGGUACCAGCCACCAAGCUCUUUGCCACUUGCUUUAGGGACGGUCGGUAUCUAAGCAAUUAUUAGAAGUAUAAUUCUUCUUGUGCUCCUAACUUUCUAAUCAUUCAUCAAGUUUAAUGGAUGAUUAAGAUAAGAAAAAAAAAAUAAAAAAAAUUGGAUGUCCCAAUUUCUCUACUCUUUGAAUAUUUUUUUCUAAUUUUUCUUCCCUCCCUCUCAUCCUAGCUAUCCAUCAAAAUUGAUUAAUGAUUAGAAAGUUAGGAAUACAAAAACUGUUGUGCUUCUAAUAGCACAGUAAUCUUACUUAUUAAAUUAUUACAAAGAGUUAGACUAUUAUGCUUUCAAAAGCAAAGUAGUCUAGCUCUUGACUACGUUUAAAAAAUACGAAGGUAUUUGUAGUUUUGAGUUGUUUUUUAUGAUAGGACAUCUAAUGCGGCGAUCAGUUUCAUUAAAAAUGAUCUAUUGUAUUAAAACUAUUUAGAAACCAAAUUUCAUAAUUUUUCGAAUUUAUUUAUCUAGUAAACGAAUAGUCUAAAAAUGAACGAUUAAAAAUAAAAAUCUCAUACAAAUAGUAAUAAAAGACUUAAGCUUCGAAUCGAAAGUACUGAUCUUACUCUCAAUAGUAAAUAAAAUUGUCUAUUAAAAUUUUAUCUAAUUUCAAUUGUUAUACACCGUUAAACUUAGCAACGUGUUACAUCGGCUAUUAAAAUAGUCAUUUUUAAAACCCUUUGAUUACUUGGUAAAUAUUAUUAAAAAAUUAUAUAAUUUUCUUUUUAGUCAAUUCUAAUAGUAUAGAUUAUAUCUAACGGAGCUAAUCUCUGAAUCAAGAUGUUCUAUCGUCGAAAAUAACUUAAAAAUAUAAAAGUCUCUGUGCUUUUGAAAACACAGUAAACGUACUCUUAUUAUAAAUAUAUUGCCAUAUAUUUAUGUAUUAUAUACAGGUAUAAAUCUAGUUUUUAAUUAGAUUAAUAUCUAAUGAUGAAAAUUUUAAUACUGUCCAAGUCGGAAACUCGCGGUGUAUCGAAAUCUGCACAUCUAAUGCCCGCUCUACACUCAACUUUUUAUUUGUUUAUACGUAAUUACCAUCUUUACAUAAUGACUUUAAGAACUUAGAAGCAAGGAUUAACUUAACGGAUCAUGUAUUGCAGAAGCCAAUGUACAUUGAGUCGGUAUUUUCACGCCGGACUAAUUAGAAUUUUUUUUGUUUUUAUCGUAACAAUUUUCUUAUUGGAAGUAGUACAAAGCGAUAAUAACCGAAUACUAGCUAAAUUUAUUUUUUUGAUGAAUGAAGCAGUAGAAUACUACAUUCUUUCAAGAUAAUAACCGAAUGCUAAUAAGAGUUUAUAUAAUAAGAUAAGUAGAUAUUUUGAAGUUAGGAGACGACACACUAUCUGUCAAUAUAUGAUGAAAUUCUUAUUAUGCAUGUGAAAUAAGAGUAAUACUAUCUGUAUAUUUAAAAAGUAGAUAUAAAUUAUAGAGCAUGACUAUUGUACUAUUAAGAGCAUAGUAACCCGUAUAUUUCUAAGUUUCUAACUAUUCAUCAAUUUUGAUGAAUAAUUAGGAUGAAAAAGAGAAGAGGAAUUGGAGAAAAAUUUAGGUUUCUCAAUUUCUCUUAUUUUUCAAUAUCUUUCCAAUUUUUCUUCUCUUUCUCACCCUAAUCGUUCAUCAAAAUUAAUGAAUGAUUAGAAACUUAGGAGCAGAGCAACUAUUGUACUUUUAAUAGUACAGUAAUCCUACUCUAAUUUAAUUAUGUUAUACAUGCAAUCAAAAUUUAUUUUACAAUAAGAGCGUUGACUGACGUCAACUCAUAGUUCGACGGUCAACAGUCAAUCAGAUCCCCAGGAGAGGACUCAUGGCCCGUCUAAUACGGAAUCAAUAGAUCAAUUGGACCACGCAAACGUCUCAAAGUCAUUAAUUAUUAUCUACCCAUUUAUUAACUGGUAAAUUAUUAUCUUAUCGUUUCCUUCAUGGAUAAUUGGAUACAAGACACUACAAAAGAUUGCCUUUUCAAGGUUAUUUCUACAAAAUUUUUAUUUUUAUAUUUAUUUCUUUAGAAAAAAACAUUUAUAUAAAAUUCCUUUAUAUAGCCCCGUAUUUCAUUGUGUUUUCCAACUACUUGUGAGAAAACUAUGGAGCCUUCCCCUUUCCGGUUCCUUCUCUGCUCAGUACUGCUCCUCAUUCUCCUCCACAUCCCCACAUCCAAAUCCGAAGCCUCCUCCCUCUUCGUCAACUGCUCCACUGCCGCGAACUUCACGGCGAACAGCACCUUCCAGUCGAACCUAAACCACCUCCUGUCUACCCUCCCCGUAGCCGCCUCACCGUCCGGCUUCUACAACACCACGGUCGGUCAAAACGGCGUCGAUCAAGUCUACGGCCUCGCAUUAUGCCGCGGCGAUAUCUCCGCCUCCGACUGCAACGCCUGUUUGACUACAGCCGCGCAACAUGCCGUCGGAGAGUGCCCGCGCGGCACGUCGAACACCCUGUGGUACGACACCUGCAUGCUGCGCUACUCCAACAGCAGCUUCUUCGGCGUCGUCGACUGGGCUCAGAUCUUCGCAUGGAACCUGCACAACGUCACGGAUCCGAAUCUGUUCGACGACCAACUCUAUCAGCUCAUGCGUAACUUGUCCACGGAAGCGGCCUACAGGUCGGGGCGGCCGCCGAUGUUCGCCGUGGGCCAGGUCCAAGUCAUCAACUCUACAAACAUAUACGGGUUGGCGCAGUGCACGAGGGAUCUGUCGCAGAACGACUGCUACGGGUGCUUGAGCAAUUGCAUCAAGAGCAUCCCGAAUUGCUGUGCAACGAGGAUUGGCGGGAGGAUUUUCGGAGAGACUUGCAUGAUUCGGUUUGAGUCGGCUCCGUUUUACAAUUUGUCGCCCAUCGGGAACACGACAGCACCGUCGCCGGCACCGUCCGGUCAGAAUAAGGGUGAUGGCAGCAAGGGAAGUGGAGGUAAGUCAAAGUCUUUUUCCCGCGUUAUUUUUUUUUUUUUGAGAAAAAUAGUAUGCUACUGCUUUAUUCAAUAAGAAUAUGAACUUAACUACAAAAUUGCGACAACGAGACCGCGAAAAAAUAAAAAAGAAAAUACUAAGAAGAAAGAAAGAAAGAAAAGAACACAUCGAGCUACAAUAACAAAAUUAAUGAAUCCUGUACUGAUCCCAAAGCCUCCUAAUUAGCUCUCUAAUCUCAACUAACAGCUGAUACAAGUUAAAUUUUUUUUUACCGUAGGGAUUUGCUGUAGGGAGGCUGUAGGAAACUUCCUUUAAUCGAUCUAAGUAGGGGAGCUAAAGUUUUUUUUUUGAGAAAAAGGUAGCAAGCUACCUGCUUCAUUCAUAAAGUGGGAUGAAUUAAGCGUACAGGGUGGAAGCAACGACGGCCUCCGAAAAAGGCAAAAGGAGAAAACAGAAAUAAAGAAAAAAAGAAGAAAAGAAACAAAGUAAGAGCUAAAGUUAUGAGCUAGAAACAAGGGUUAAUUUACAGUAUUAGUUUAGAAACAAAAGCACGAAGAUAGUGACAUAUAGAUAUAUCUAUUACCAAUUAAACAAAUUAAAAUAAAAUUAUAAACUUCUAUACGAUUGAAAUACUGGUAAUUAAUUAACAAAACUGCAUUUAUAAUGUUUGAAAAUUAUUAUACAAUCAAUCUCAAUUCAGGAAAAUGGCUCAUUUUAAGUUUGAGCUCAUCACACACAAAUUGUUAGAAAAGGUCAAACUACUUCAUGGUCGAUAUGAACUAACAUAUAGAGCUAAUUAAUAGCGUGUGGAUGAUAACCAUAUCAAGGUUUUUUUUUUUUUUUUUUUGAGAAUAGGUAGCACGCUACCUGCUUCAUUCAAUGGAAGGGUGAAUUAGGCUACAGAGGUGAGGCAUCGAGGGCCUCGUGAACACAUUAAAAAAAAAAAAAGAAAAAAAAAGAAAAAAAGAAGAAGCAUAUAUAUAUAUAUGUAUAUAUAUAUACAUAUGUAUAUGUAUAUAUAUAUGUAUAUAUAUAUACAUAUAUAUAUAUACAUAUACAUGUAUAUAUAUAUAUAUAUGUAAAGAAGGCAAUUAAGGAAGGUCUAUCCAAGAGUCAAUCAGGAACUUGAGCCUGCGCACCACAGUUACUGGGUCAAACUGUAUGCCUCGAAAGAUAACGUCGUUCCUAACUUUCCAAAUGGUCCACCAGCACGCUGCUAACUCGGGUAAUCCGUGCCUCCUAUUUAGUCCACCAUCCCUACGUCUCCACCUAUCCCAGACUUCAAGUACAUCAUCACCCAAUUCCCCGGACUGAACUUCUUCGAGUCCCGCGACCAUGAUAUACUUGGUAAAGACACAUUGAGUGAAUAGAUGAUCCACAGACUCGUCAUGAACCGUACACAGCGCACAAGUCGUACUUCCAGACCACCCUGUCAGACUGAGGUUGACCGCCGUAAGAGUUCUUUUCUUAAGGACAAGCCAACAGAACACUUUGAUCUUGAGUGGGAUUCGGAGUCUCCAAACCAAGCUACUCCGCCCGUCUCUCGUGCCCCUGUCGUUCAAUAUGCGAUAGGUCGAUCGUACUGAGAAUAUAUUAUUAGUAUCCCAUCUCCACCCUAUCCUGUCCUCUGUCUGUCCAAUACAAACGCUAGAAACUCUCUCUUUGAGUUUUGAGAGGGUGCAACGCAAGCUCGGUGUAACAGAAGUUUCCUCGCCCAAGAUCCUAUUCCAAUCCCAAUCGUUGCCGCCAAAGCAAUCCCGGACCAGGAUGGGUUUUCGAACCGGCUGUGUGAACAACUCCGGGAAGGACGCUUGGAGUGUGGUAUUCCCACACCAUCUGUCAAGCCAAAAAUCAACCGAUGCCCCAUUACCCAGAUGAUAGUUGGUCCCCCAUUUGAAAAUAUCCUUGGUGGCAAGCACCCCCUUCCACCAGUAUGAAGACGGCCGGAAACCUCUCCCCUCCCACAGCGGUCUUCUUCUUCGGUAGUACAAAGCACGGAUAAGCUUGAUCCACGGCAAAUUGGAUAUAGUAUAGUAUCUCCACCACCAUUUGACUAGGAGAGCCGUAUUCAUGUCGGCUAUAUCUAGGAUGCCUAAACCACCUGCCCGUUUGCUCAAACAGACAUUUUUCCAUGCGACCAGACACCCCCUGCCAGGGAUGUCGCAUUGGCCACUCCAAAAGAAAUCCCUGCGUAGUGCUUCGAUGCGCUUGAUGACCCAUUUGGGUGCCUUGAACACUGUCAGGAAGUACAGUGGCAGAUUGGUGAGCACCGCAUUGACAAGGAUAAGUCUACCCCCUCUCGAGAGAAGUUUGGCCUGCCAUGCACCCGUCUAUUCUGUGCUGUAUUUUCUGAAUAACCCCUCUCCAGUCCUCCUUUGUGGGGGGUUUUGGUGAGAGUGGUAGACCUAGAUACGUGGUAGGGAGGGAACCAACUUUACAAUCGAGCAACUGCGCAAGUCUCUCCGCUUUACCCUCAAUCCGUCCUAGGUAGUAAAGCUCGGACUUUUCUCUGUUGAUUUUCAACCCAGAUGCCCACUCGAAGAGAUUCCACAUCAGUCGGAUAUUUCUCAUAAAUCGUUUUCUAGCCACGGAGAAGAAGAACGUAUCGUCCGCGAACUGUGUAAGUGCCGUUAAACUCUCGUGUGAAGGGCCAAUCCCCAUGAAGAGGUUGUUUGAGAUUGCCAUGCUGGACAAUCUAGCGAGACACUCCGCCACCAGCAGGAACAGGAAUGGUGAGAGUGGAUCUCCUUGACGUACCCCUCUCUUAGUUUUGAUCCAGUUAGUUGCCUCACCAUUAACUAAAAUGGCUACCUUAGCGUUGCACACACAUUGUUUGAUCCAUUCACACCACUGCUCCUCGAAUCCCCACCAUCGGAGAAUGCUGAAGAGAAAGGGCCAGUAAAUUCUAUCGUAGGCCUUUUCGAAGUCCACUUUUAUGCCAACUCCCUCAAUGGCCUCCUUACAACCCCCCCAAUUAGUUCAGAGACUGUUACGUACGCGUCGGUAAUGUUUCUCCCUUUUAAGAAAGCGGAUUGAGAGGGAGAGAUUAACUCAUUCAUAACAGCAGCUAGUCGAUUUGCGAGGACCUUCGAAAUAAUCUUUUGGAUUCCGUUUAUAAGACUGAUCGGCCGGAACUCGUUAGCCCUUUCCGCCCCUUCUCUCUUAGGGAUGAGACAGAUGAAUGAGUAAUCAAAAGGAGCAAUCGAAAUCCUGCCUUCAUAUAGAAAGACCAAUGAGUAAUCAAAAGGAGCAGUCGAAAUCCUCCAUAUCAAGGUUGAUGGUGAUAAUAUUUGAUCUAGAAAGACCAAUGCCCAUCUUUAGGUAUACCCAUCCCUUUCUUCUAACAUUGAGAUAUUUAUAUAACCAUGCCUUAAUUCAAUCCUUUUCAUAGGUAAUACUCUUUUUCAACUUACGAAAAGAUUGCAUUAUGUGCGGUAAAAAAAUAUUACAGAAAAAUAUAAUAUUUGUUUCCAUACGUGAUAUCAGAUUUCACAUAUUGUAAUAAAUUAAUUACGAUAUAUUUUCUAUAGUCAUACCAAAGAAUAAAAAAGUAUAUUUUUAUAAGCUUUUGUCCCGAUAUUUUUUUGGUUUAAUAGCAUUAAAUAGGUGUCAAUCUCAGGUGAGGCCUAAAUUAUGUAGUGAACUCUUAUUCAUGGAAUUAAUAUUGCUCAAGUAUCCAAAAUAACAAAAAUAAAUAAAAAUAGGGAAAGAAUAAAAACUCUCACUCUCACUCUUCGUGGUUUCGUGGUGAUUUGGUUUAUAUGGUGCGAGACAUUUAAUAAAGUGAAAAACAAGGCAUUAUAUCUCAUGGCCCUAAUGAAAAGGGUUUCAAAGCGUUCCUUCGUUGAAGGAUUUUUCAUCUUUUUUCGACUUGGCAUUAUAUCUCAUGGCCCUAAUGAAAAGGGUCUUUUUCAUCUUUUUCCGACUAUCUUUGGAUCUUUUUUACUUUAGCAUUGUUUUCUUUCUUGCUGUUCGUCUUUCGCCUCGGAAGCCUGAGCUUUUUCCAUACUGUAUUGCCUAAUUCAUUUAUCAAUGAAUGAAGCAGGUAGCCCGUCUACCUCUUUCUCAAAAAAAAAAGGUGUUCCUUCGUCGAGCACGAUCCUCAACCUCUCUCCUUCUUUCUCUCCAUCAUCCUCUCACCGUCUGAUCUCAGAGUUUGAUCAUCACAUAUGGUUGUGCAGAGUCCGGAUGUCACGAGGUCGUCAAUUCUAUGGGUGUCCAAACCGGAGGAUAAAACAACUACUUUUGCAUUGAUGAAAAAAAUAAUUGUUCAUUAAUUAUUAAUUAUCUAGAGUAACUUUAAAAUUUAGUAUGCAAUAAUAUCAUUUAUCUUUAUUCCAACUAACAGUGCUUUAAAAAGUUUCUUUCUUCAUUUACUAAUUAUUUUUAUAUUUGUGUACAGUAACAAGAACGAUAAUUAUUCUGUUUGGAUUGAUGAUACACACUACAAUACUGUUGACUUAAAGAUCAAGUACAGACAUUUCAAGAAGCUGCGGAGCAACAUAUUCAAAAACUAGAAAAGAAAGCCUUAUUUCUACUUAAGCUGCUUAUAUGUUUAAUUGUGGCUAAUAUUUUAUUUAGUUUGGCAAUGUAAUAAAAUAUGAUAUAAAGAAUUAAAGCUGCAAUAUUUUUGAUAAUGUAGUAGGAUUGCGAUAAUACAUUCUAGUGAUGAAGUAGUAAUUGUUGUAAUGUAAGUGAGACAAUAUUUGUGAUAAUGUUAGUGAUAUAUAAAAUAGUAGUUGUUGUAAUGUAAUUAAAGCAUUGUUUGUGAUAAAAGCUUAUUUCAUUUUGAAGUAAAGUGGUACCUGCACAUAGAUAAGCGAAGAAAACUACACUAUAAGAAAUCUAAAGAGCUGCAACAUACAACCUUCAUAGAAUCUACACAAAAAUCCUACAACCCACAUCGUGAAAUAUGCACUGAAAUUUGCAAGCAUUAUUUGUGACUGCAGGAACAUAUAUAGUUAGGCACACAUUGAUUCAUCAUAUUGUUUUCUCCUAAUUAGGAGAUAUUUAUAUAAUGUUAAAACUUUCUUUUUGAUUGCAGUGGAUAUAUGGCACCAAAGUAUGUAAUUCAUGAACACUUCUCAGCGAAGUGAGAUAUUUUUAAUUAUGGUGAGUUGGUUUUGAAAAUUUCGACCGAAGGAACGCGGCCCGAUCAUUAAUAAGCCUAUAUGGAAAAAGAAGACACUGUAAAUUCCUAGAUGGCAGGAAUUUUAAAUUAUUGGAAAUUAAGAGAUAUUCUCAUUUUUUUAUACUUGAUGCAAAUUAUUGAUAGUUUAUUAUUAAAAAUGCAUAUACUAAUUUUUAACGACCUCUCAAUUUAAAUGCUUUGAUGAAUUAGCAUCAAAUUUGCAUUAAUUUAGUACUUUCGAAAAAAACGAAAGCGUUAGUACUUUCAGAUUAUUUUCAAUAAAAAUUAAACAUUUACAUACAUACUUUUUUUUUCAUUUUAACUGCCUUGAAAUUUCGUACUAGUCAAAAUCAUGUGGACGACUAGAUAAGGGGAAUAUAUAUAUAUAUAUAUAAGUUAUUUGUGCUGGUAUGCUUAUGAAAGCACGAGGCCUCCGUGCUUUCACUUUGUUUUUGAUGUUCGGACUUUCGAAUCGACGAUCGCUCCGUUAGAGUUGAUCUAGAGUAUUUGAAGUACCUAGAAAUAAAUUUUGUGAUUUUCGAUAUCAUUUGCUAGUGAUCAGAGGGCUCAAAAUCAAUAAUUUUAACAGCCGUGGUGAGCCGAUGCAAGUUUAACGGUGUAAAAAAUAUUCAAAUCACAUAAAUUUUGAUAAAAAAAAUUCUCAUACCAUAAUAAAACAAGGAUCAAUAACUUUGAUCUAAAAUUUUAAUUCAUAUCAUCAUAUUUUGUAAGAUUUUUAUUUUUCAGCCGUUGAUUUUGAGCCACUUCGAUCACUAAGCAAUGAUAUCGAAAAAUCGCAAAAUUUAUUUCUAAUACUUCAAAUACUCUAAUCAAGUUUAACGGAGCCGAUUGUCGAUCGAAAGUCCGAACAUCAAAACAAAGUGGAUACGGAGCCCCUCGUGCUUCUAAUACAUCCUACCACACUCUAAUAUAUAUAUAUAGAGUUGACUAGAAUCUAUCGAUAGCGAAACCGCACUUUGCAACCCAUUUGUUUGAUGAUGGAGCCUCCAAAUCGACGAUCAGCCCCCGUUGAACGUGAUCUAUACUACUUAAGUAAUUUAAAAUUAAAUUUCAAAUCUUUUCGAUAUCAUUUGCCUAAUGAUCAAAGAUUUCAAAAUUUGUAAUUUUUAAUGGUCGAUAGUAGGCGUUUUCUCGUUUAACGGCGUAAAGAUAUCCAAAUCAAUUGAAUUUUUGUUAGAAAAUUCUUUAAACUAUUUAAAAAAAUCUAUACUCUUGAUCUGAUUACAAGACUCCUAUUAUCCAUUUUUAAAAUAUUCAUUUUCAGCCGUUCAUUUUGUGUCCACCGAAUGGAUAAGAAGCAAUAUCGAAAAUGUAAUGAAAUUAAUUUCUAAAUACUUCAAAUGUAUAAUCAUGUUCAACGGUGCCGAUCAUCAUUUGGAGCUCCAUCAUCGAAAACAAAAUGGUGCAUAAAGUGUCGGUUUGCUAUCGAUAGUAUUGCUAGCUCACUCUAUAUAUUAUAAUAUAUAUAUAAUAUAUAUAUAUAUAGUGCGUCUCGGGUGUGCUUUCCGAAGCACGGAGCGCUCCGUGCUUCACUUUGUUUUCGAUGUUGGGACUUCAAAUCGACGAUCGCUCCGUUAGACUUGAUCUAGAGUAUUUGAAUAUCUAGAAAAUAAAUUUGCGAUUUUCGAUAUCAUUUGCUAGUGAUCGAAGUGGCUCAAAAUCAACGGCUGAAAAUAAAAAUCUCACAAAAUAUGAUGAUAUGACAUUAAAAUUUUAGAUCAAAUUAUUGAUCUUGUUUUAUAGGUAUAAAGAAUUUUCUAUCAAAAUUUCACGUGAUUUGGAUAUUUCUAACACCGUUAAACUUGCAACCGGUCACCACGCCGUUAAAAUUAUUGAUUUUGAGUCCCUUCGAUCACUAGGCAAAUGAUAUCGAAAAAUCGCAAAAUUUAAUUUCUUGGUACUUUAAUACUCUAGAUCAACUCUAACGAGGCCGAUCGUCGAUUCGAAAGUCCGAACAUCGAAAACAAAGUGGAAGCACGGAGGCCUCCGUGCUUACGAAAGCAUACCAGCCCACUCUAUAUAUAUAUAUAUAUAUUAUAUAUAUAUAUAUAUAUAUAUAGUAUAUUAUAUAUAUAUAUAUAUAUAUAUAUAUAUAUAUAUAUAUAUAUAGCUAGUCUCCUAUAUUAUCUAUAGUACCCUGACUCCAGUACUAUAGUCCCGUUUUCGAUUUUAGGGUGUUCAAAUCAACGAUCCACACCAAUUUAGGGUAUUUAAAGUUUUUAGAAAUAAAAUUUUAUAUUUUUUCGACAUAAUUUACUUUAUGAUCAAACCAUUUUAAAAUUGUCAAUUUUCAAUGACUACUAUGGCGAGUUUGGAAUUUAACGGUGUAGAAGAAUCUAAAUUUCUUCAAAUUUUGAUAGAAAAUACUUUAAACUAUCUAGAUCAAGAUUAACAUUCUUAAUCUUGAAUUUACAAGUCCUGUGCUCAAAUUUUAAAGAUUAUUCAAUUUUCACCGUCUAUUUUGACAUAAUUUAUUUGCUAAGUAGACAAUAUCGAAAAAAACUAAACUUUUAUUCCUAAGAACUUCAUAUACCCUAGAGCAUAUUUAACGGUGUAGAUCGUUAAUUUGAAUACCCUAAAAUCGAAAACAAGAUUAUAGUACCAAAGCUUCGGUACUAUAGAUAGUAUAGUAGUAUAUAUAUAUAUAUAUAUAUAUAUAUAAUCCGGCUGGUAUACUAUCUGUAGCACGGAAGUCUCCGUAUUAUUAAGUUAUUUUCGAUGAUGCGGCUUCUAAAUCAACAAUUGACUCCGUUAGACUUGAUCUACAUUAUUCAAAGUAUUUGAAAACUAAAUUUUAUAAUUUUUCGACAUCAUUUACCUAUCAAGUAGUCUAAAAAUGAACGACUGAAAAUAAAAAUCUCAUAAAAAAUAAUAAUAAAAAAUUUUAAUUUAAAAUCAAAGGUACUCAUCUUACUGUAAAUAGUAAAAAAAAAAUUCUAUAAAAAUUUUAUUAAAUUUGAUUCGUUUUACACCGUUAAAUUCACAAACGCAUCACAUCGGCCAUUAAAAUUGUCAUUUUUAAGAUCUUUUGAUCAUCAGCCAAAUAAUGUCGAAAAAUUAUGAAAUUUAGUUUUCAAAUAUUUUCAAUAGUAUAGAUCAAGUCUAACGGAGCGGCCGAUAGUUGAUUUGAAAGCUGCAUCAUCGAAAAUAAUUUGAUAGUAUAGAGGUCUUCGUGCUACCGAUAGUAUACCGGCCUAACUCUAUAUAUAUAUAGAGAGAGAGAGGGAGAAAAUUAGACUACUAUAUUAUUAAUAGUAUCAAGUACUAAGUGUUGUUAGGUUUUCAGCCUUUGAAUAAAGGGAUGUGCGGUUAAGAUGAUAAUAAUCUCCGGUUAAAAUAAUAACGAUCCUCAAGAAUUGGAUGGAUAGUUAAAUAUAUAGUAUGAUCUAACGAAUAAGAAUGAUCAAAAGUAUAAAUCUAAGGACGAAAAAUUCGAUAGCACGCGCUUCCGAACUCUCUUUCUCUCUAUAUUUAUUAACUGCCUUGAAUUUUUUUUUCUUUUGAGAAAAGGUAGCACGCUAUCCGUUUCAUUUAUUUAUUUAUUUUUUUUUUUUGAGAAAAAGGUAGCAUGCUACCAUCCGUUUCAUUUAUUAGGGUGAUGAACUAGACUACAAAAGUGGGACAACUCGAGCCUCCCCCCNNNNNNNNNNNNNNNNNNNNNNNNNNNNNNNNNNNNNUAUAUAUAUAUAUAUAUAUAUAUAUGGUAUACUAUCUGUAGCACGAAAGUCUCCGUAAUAUGAAGUUAUUUUCGAUGAUGCGGCUUCUAAAUCAACGAUCGGCUCUAUUAGACUUGAUCUAUAUUAUUCAAAGUAUUUAAAAACUUAAUUUUAUAAUUUUUUGACGUCAUUUAUCUAUGAAAUAAUUUAAAAAUGAACGGCUGAAAAUAAAAAUUUCAUAAAAAAUAAUGAUAAAAAAUUUUAAUUUAAAAUGAGAGGUACUCAUCUUACUCUAAAUAGUAAAAAAAAUUUCUAUAAAAAUUUUAUUAAAUUUGAUUCGUUUUACAGCGUUAAAUUUACAAACGCAUCACAUCGGCCAUUAAAAUUGUCAUUUUUGAGAUCUUUUGAUCACCAGCCAAAUAAUGUCGAAAAAUUAUGAAAUUUAGUUUUCAAAUAUUUUCAAUAGUAUAGAUCAAGUCUAACGAAGCAGCUGAUAGUUGAUUUGAAAGCUGCAUCAUCGAAAACUAUUUGAUAGUAUAAAAGUCUUCGUGCUAUCGAUAGUACACCGGCCUAGCUCUAUAUAUAUAUAUAUAUAUAUAGAGAGAGAGAGAGAGAGAGAGAGAGAGAAUUAGACUACUAUAUUAUUAAUAGUAUCAAGUACUAAGUGUUGUUAGAUUUUCAGCCCUUAAAUGAAGGGAUGUGCGGUUAAAAUAAUAGUGAUCUCCGGUUAAAACAAUAACGAUCCUCGAGAGUUGGAUGGAUAGUUGAGUAUAUAGUAUGAUCUAACGAAUGAGAAUAAUGAAAAAUAUAAAUCUAAUGACGGAAAAUUCGGUAGCACGCGCGUCCAUAUUAUUAUAGUCCCCGAACUCUCUCUCUCUCUCUCUCUCUCUAUUUAUUAACUGCCAGGAAAUUUUGUUCCAGUCAAAUCCGUGUGGACGACUAGGCAAGAAAAUAAAUAAAUAAAUAAAUAAAAAGUGAGCAUACGCGCGAACACUUUUUAACGAGAAAUAGUAAUAAGGAAGGGAGGCGAGCAGAGGUAAAGUCGCUUUCCCAGUCUCUCCGAUAAUUGCCUUUCCUCUGCUUCGCCGGAACAGCUUCUUUCAUUAUGGCUCUUGUCCUCUUCCAUCUGCAGUUAAUCGCGAUCAUAUCCGUCCUUAUUACUACGGCGUUCCCAUACCCAGCUUACUCCGAGGCUAAUGCCACGCUCACCUACUGCUCCGGCGAUCCGCCCUACAAACCCACCUCCCCUGUCCUGAGCCCUACCCAGUUCACGGACUUCCUCUACGGCGUGGCCACCGCCGCUCCUACCACCGCCGACAGGUCCUCCAGCUCCCAGCUCCCCGCCGGCGACCAGACCAUCUACGCCGUCGCCCAGUGCCGCUUCGACGCCUCCCCCUCCGACUGCUCCGCCUGCCUCAACUCCUCCCUCGACUCCAUCGGCAGCAGCUGCGCCGCCUCCGCCGUCCGCUACGACCUCUGCCUCCUCCGCUACGACGUCCACGACCUCUCCCUCUUCGACGAGAACGAGUACACCGCCGCCGUCUUCAACGCCACCCGCGCCGCCGCGAAGCCCGCCGAGUUCGAGAGGGACGUGUCGGCCCUGCUGUCCGCCGUCGUCAACGACAGCGCCGCGGCGGGGUCGCGGCUGUGGACGGGCGUCAUGACGAAUAGCUCCGCCGGCCGGAGCGUGUACGAGAUGGCGCAGUGCAUCCCGGAGCUGUCCGGCGCCGACUGCGCCAGGUGCCUGCGGGGGGCGCUCGGCCGGCUGACGGCGGACUACAACGGCAGCGCCGGCAUGCAGGUGCUGAGGCUCAGCUGCGCCGUCAGGUACGACACCUACCCCUUCUUCGACCCCUCCCUCCCGCUGCCCAGGACUCUGCUCAACGGCUCGGCCGCCAACAGCCUGUCAGCACCUCCGCCGAUCGUCGCUCCGUCUGGUCAGUCUGUGCUGCUCUUCUCCCCACCAUCCUUUGUCAGUCUGGCGAUUUUAGAUAAAAUUCUCCCGAAGUACUACUGGAUAGGUGCAAAUUCCAUAUAUAGAUGGAAAUGUUAGUUUAAAUGGGCCAGCAUCCCGCCUGCGAUGGAUGGGACGCCAAAUUGGACCAAGCCCCAUUUGAAAUAGUGUGAGGCUGGGUUGAACCGAGUUAUGUUCGAAAUGACGUGAGGCCAGUUAGACCGAGUCACAGUCGAGACUGGCGGGUACUGUGCCUGUACGCUUCCUGGCACAAAUGCACGGCAGUAACCGUAGGCAGAUUCUCCACAAUUGCAUCCCUAGUUUGUGGGUGUGCGCAAGAUCCUCAAAUUAAGGGCUUAUGUGAGAGCAUACAGCACGUAACAACUUCACGGAGAGCUGUGAUGAAUUCAGCAAUUCUUUGAGCAGCUUCAUUCUGCAAAUUCCAUUUCAAAUGAAAGGCUAACGAGCAUUAAUUAUGCUUCCGUAGGAAACAAUAAACACGCAACAAAAGUUGUUCUUAUAAUUGCCGUCACUGUGGGUGCUGGAGGGGCGAUUGUGCUUUUCGCCAUUUGCAUUUAUCUCUUCAUGGGUAAAGUUGCUAGAGAUGCACAAUGUAAGUUCCUUGAUGCAUUUCCUAGUAACAAAAAUAUGAGACAUCUUUUACUGUUAUUUGAGUUUUCUUGCGUUCUAAUGUUGGGUGCUGGGAUGGUGAAGAUAAACAGAUAAGGUCCAUAUCGUUUGAUCUGAAAACGCUUUGUACGGCCACAAAUAACUUCGCUAUUCAAAAUAAGCUCGGAAGCGGUGGAGCUGGAAUGGUCUACAAGGUAAUCUGUAAGUUUUGAGUUGCGACAGUGUCACUGAAUGCGGCCGCUAUAUAUAGCUGCUAGUUUCUAAUAUGGUAUUAGUCGUAAAUACAGGGAACGCUACCGGAUGGACAGGAAAUAGCAGUGAAGAGGUUUUCCGGAGCAUCGCAUCAAGGGAUAACAGAGUUAGGAGUUAUCGUCUUGAUUGCAAAGCUCGAGCAUCCGAAUCUUGCCAAGUUGAUCGGCUUUUGCUAUGAAAAAAUGGAAAUGCUUCUGGUUUGUGAAUAUCUGCCCAAUAAAAGUCUAGACAACUACUUGUUCGGUAAGCUGAUGCUGCAUUCUUAUCACGCUACAUAUAAUAAGGAACAGUAAUAAUCAUGCUUGCUAUGAAGAAAAUUUCAGUCAGUAUCACAAGUUAUCUACGAACUACAACCGGAAGUUAUCGCCAUCGUUAGAUCAUGGCCUGACAACCCGGAGAGCUAUUUCUAGAAUUUUUUGUUCAAAGCUUGUUUUUGUCUUGAAAACUCAUCUGCUAAUUUAGUCAGUGUUUUGUGAAUACUGUUUAGACACGUCACAAACUAUCAAUUAGGUUUCCUAUAUGACAUAAGUUAGGAUAUCUAUUACAGGACAUAGAAUUAUCAACACAAUAUUAGAAUUCUAAAAAUUUUUACCUUUCUUCUGUUCAUUUAUGGCCUUUUAAUUAGGGUUUAUUUUUGUUCAGUGCUAGUUGAUUGCCGCAUUGUUGAUAAAAAAAAAAUGUUGGGCUUAAAAUAACAAAAAAAACAAGUAUGAUAGUGAUAUCCGGCGAAAAGAAUUACACAUUUCUAUUUCCACCUAUGUUAAAAGUGAGAAAAACAUUCAACCUCUACCUCAAGCUAGUAGUACUUGUCAUCUGCAAAUUAGUAUGAGAUCUUUCAAACCUAUAGAAUUUGUUACUGAAUUUGUUUAGAUGCAACAGAUCCCAACAGGCGAGCACAACUAGACUGGCGAAUGCGCUACAUGAUCAUCAGAGGAGUCUGUCAGGGUCUUCUUUACCUUCAUGAAGAUUCACAGCUGACGAUCAUCCAUCGAGAUCUAAAAGCAAGUAAUAUCUUGCUAGAUAAGGACAUGAAUCCUAAAAUUGCAGAUUUUGGUCUCGCAAAGCUUUUGGGUAGCGAUAAAACCCAUGAAAUCACUAGAAAAAAUGCUGGUACAUUGUAAGUAGAAUCGUCAUUUCCUAAAUUAUUUUGUGACAAGAAGCUCUUUCUACGGCACGGUGUAAUCUCACAUUUCUUUAUUGCCUCGCGGCAGAGGAUAUAUGGCACCUGAAUAUUACAAUAAGGGGCAAUUUUCAAAGCAAUCGGACGUGUAUAGCUAUGGUAUAUUGGUCUUAGAGAUUGUAACUGGAGAAAGAAACAGUGAAUUUGAAGGAUCAAGCGACGCUCUGUAUCUUUCAACCUAUGUAAGUAUUCAUCUAACUAAGGAUUGAACAUCUAUAUAUGAUUUGUGAUGCGGACCUCUUUAUUGCACUGGGCAACAUAUGCUCCUUGAUUGCUAAGCCAUUUUGUUUGAUAGGUAUGGAAACACUGGAGAAAUGGGAAGGGACUAGAUGUCGUCGAUAAAAGUCUAGGUAAUCUGUAUGAACAAGACGAAGCAUUAAAAUGCAUCCAGAUUGGGCUACUUUGUGCACAACAUGACCGCGCAAAGCGACCCAGCAUGAGUCAAGUCUCAUCCAUGCUUGAUGGUCCCAAUGAAAUAUCGGAACAACCAUGCGAGCCUGGGUACGUGCCAGUGGUUGACAACACUACAGUUAUUAGCUCACCCGAACAAGAACAAGCGCCAUUCAAUACAUACAGGGCCAUUCAAGAACGAGAAACCGUGUAGGUUACCAAGGUGUUAGUUCCUAUAUAAGUUUUUUCUAAUGGUAAAGUGCUUCAUUUCUCAUUUCAAAUAAUCAAAUCAGUUCAUUUUUUCUAUGUCCUUGUUAAACUGAUAAUUGUGACAAUACAAUUCAUUUUCAGAGGUUGAUGGGCCUAACCUACAAAUAUGUGGAUGUUGAGGAAGAAACAAUUUCAAUUUUUAUUCAAGUGUAUGAUUUUAAACAUUAUUGUUAGUUCGAGUGGCUUGAAUUUGGCCAUUGUUUGUAUAAUUACGCUGUGAGCUCGCUGGACGUGUAUACUGUUAUCUUUUGCAUUGCAAUGUUGAUACUAAGAUACUACAAGUAGUAUUUCUCUUUUAUUUUUCUUUAAAAUGGCAAGGAAGCUAAAUCUGCAGGAGAAAACUGAACUAUUCUGGAAAUUUCUAGAGUCUCCUUAUUAUAUAUUUUACCCCAAAAGAAAGAGUAAUGCAUAAUGCAAAUAGUAACACAACUUACAAAAUUUUCUUUUUUUUUUCUCAUUUAAUACAAUAUUUCCAUGCACAAUUUGCCCACUUGUCACAUGUUUAAUUAGGCAUCGAAGAAUGGGUACACUUCAUAUCUUAAAUUACAACUUGAACCCAACACUCUCCCUCCUCUCUUCCCCUUGCAACAGCUAGAUAGUUGACUAAUGGCUUUUUCCAAACACGCUUUACAAUCGCCCCCAGAUAAAUCCUUACUACAUUGCACUAACCCAUAUAAUUCUCCCUUAUUAGUAUUAAUAUUAUUAUUAUUAACCUUAUGAUUGUUAAUCACUAGCUCACCAGCUGCGUACAGUAGAGGUGUAAGAUAAGCCCUCUUGGUCAACCCCUUCAUGAGCCUCACCACCUUGGACUCGAACCUUGACGGGUCGGCCGACGCGUUCGACCGAUCCGAUAAGAGCACGGAGUGUGCCCGAUCCACUUCCCCGAAGAAGUCGCUGUCGGAGUAGCGCACCAUGCACCGGUCCAACCAAACAGUGGCUCGCUUUCUGCGGGGACACCGUCGUAAGGUAUGGGCGUUUGCGGUGCGAAUGCAAGCGCGGCACAACGCCCGGGUGACGUCCCCACGGCACAGGGCGAGCCCAAACGCACGACUGGGGCCCGACCCGACCGAACCGAUCUCGAACCCGACGGCGGGGGCUUUGGCGGAUAGAAGAUACAUGAGCUGGUGCAGGUUUCGGGUGAACGCGUCGCCGGGACGCAAAGUGUUCGAGCUCGAGCAUCGGAUGGCGAGGGGGGGAUCGGAGGCGACGGUGGCGUAAAGAAGAAGAGAAAACGAAAGUAAGGAAAGUAGAAAUGAGAUUCUGGAGCUCAUUUUGUGUGAAGAGAAAAUGGGAAAGAGGAGAUGUUAUAUAGUGUAGAAGGUAAGCAGUUUUUUUUUUAUUUUGUGAAGGUUUCAAGGAGAAGAAGAGGUCGUAUCUGAGGAAUAAGCUGGAGAACUCAAAAAAGGUGCAUGGAAUUAAAUGGUGGGAGGAUGCUUCGUAGGGGCGUUGACUUUGAACCGUUAUGUGUUGUUUUUUCGUGAGUUGUUAGAGUUAUAGAACGAGGAGAAGAGAUGAUCAUGUUAUACAAGUCAAAUGUGACAUACUACUACUUGGUAGUUAAUUAAUUUAUGCUGAAGUAGUUUAAAGGGAGGUGUCAGCAGUGAUUAAUGUAAUUUAGUAGUAUUUAGAUUGUUGAUAAUUGGGGUGUGAUCAUUGAAGUAGAGUUUUGGUCUCCUUUUGAGGGAGGUGGCUACUGGAGUAGCAGCAGUAGUGGAAAGAGAGGAAUCAUGAAGAAGAGAAUGUUGUUUUGUUUUUUAGAGAGAUAGGUAGCACGCUAUCCGCUUUGUUUAUUUCAUUUAGAAAUAAACUUAGCUGAAAAUGUGAAUCAACUAGGAUUUGAACAUGGAAUUUCGAAUACCAACCACCAAGCCCUUUGCCACUUGCUCUAGAGACAGUCGGUAGAAGAAAAUGUUGUUAAUUUGGGUCAGGAGAGAUCAUACGUCGCUAUGUAAAAUUUGGAACUCGCGUCCCUGAUUUCAGAUCCAUUUCAAGUCUCAAAUACUUCAAACUAAACAUGCCCUGAAAAUGAACAAAAAGUUCAAGGCUCUAGCUUCUCCAGUUUAUAUAUCCCUAAGGUUAUGAGAGAGAGAAAGAGAGAGGGAAACAAAAAGUUCCUGGUGGAGCCUUUUUUUUUUAUUUUAUAGAAUUUAUAAAAUCAACUAUGGAUAUCUCAUUUGAAUUCAAUCUAAACAUUGAGCCUAAUUAUAGGCAUCAUCACGUGCUUUGAUUUUUUACAACAAAUAAAUGAUAAUUUAUUUUUCCAUUAUCCGUUCAUUUCAAGAUAAUAAUACUAGUAUCUCAGCAUUUCUCUUUUGUAAGUAUACGUGUCAUUCACAGAUUAGAAAAAAAAAAAAUUUAAAUAAAAGCUCGCAAAUCUUGCGGAAUUUGAACGACGUAGCCAAAAAAAUCGAGAAAAAGCAGUUCUAUAGGAGUAAAUCUCGGAGCAACAACUUGAGAAACACCAAUUUAAUUUUGGCAAACUUUAGUUAAAUUAUGAUUAAUUUGUUCAAAUCAUUAAACUCUAAAUUCUAUUUGGAUUGAGAUUAAAAAGACUAGGUUAAGAACUAAAGAUAUAGUUCGUAAUGACACAGCUGAGUAUAAGUCCAAACACAAAUUUUGUUCUAUUCAAUAUGAACUUACCAGGUGUAGCCAAUGAUUACUAAAUAUUACAAAAACGAAUCAAAUUAAAUGAAUCAAAACAAAACAUUUUCAAAAGGCAAAAUAAUCCCUUCAAAGUGAUCCAACAAAUUUUGUUUGAAAUAACUCCCACUGAACAAAUCCAAAAAAAUCUCAUUUUGUAACAAACCCCGCUCCCUUUUCUCUCAUCCAUAUUACAUUAUAUAUAUACACACACACACACAUUAAUUAAGGGUUUUACUCUAUUGCUCCAAUUUCUUUUGUGUCUAUUGUUAACACUGAUGAACCCUACGAUGCAGGAGAACACCCCCCACACCAUGGAGGCCUCCAAUUUGUAUCCCCCCGUGAGGUAACUUUUACUUUUGUUUCAUGCACUUUCAUUGUUUAUCAUAUGAUUAUAUGAUUCAUAUUGCGCGUCGAUAAAUCGCAAUGCUUAUCAUGUUUACUCUUUACGAUAAGACGCAGCUCCAGAUUUCGUUCAACUUACGUAAGAGUUCUACGUUCCACUUCAAGAUGAUACAGAAUAACUGCUAGAGUAAUCAUGCUAUAUUACUAUUAUGUUUGUUAUGUUGAUGUUAAUUAGAUGACGACGAAAAAGCGCACCCACCUGAAUCACGAUCUGCAUCCUACGGUGAGUAUGCUGGGUUGCAUAAAACUAUUGAAGAUGGUUUUUCCUAAAAUACAUGCAAUCAAAUAUGCGGAAAACUACUUUUCAGGCUAAAAACUACUUUUGAGUUCUUCUACAUGCAACCAAACACUGCCCCAUUCAUUAUAGAAAGGCCAGUUGGGUCGAUCUCUGCUUACAUUACAAAGUUUCUUACUGUGACAAAUCCUACAUAAAUGUCUAAUUUAUCUUUUUAACUUUACCUUUCUCGCUUCUCCAGCUACCCCCCUAUCAACUUUCCUCACUAUACCAGCUAUCCGUCUACCCUCUAUACGUAUUCUGGACUCACCAUGGGCGACACAGCAUGCUACUAUUACAACAGAGAAUGGGACAAAUGCAGCUACUACUACCCCUAUAUCUCAUAUCUGCGUCCAACGCCUGAAAACAAAGCAGCAUCGGCGCCUACUUCUAUUCCCAAAAAGGAGAAAGACACGACCACCCACUCCAUCACAGCACAUCUUGACGACCUCGUCUUGUCUCCUCGGCUAGCAGACUCGUGUAACACGUCAUGGCAGUAUCCAUCACACUCUGCUCCACGAUCGUUGUUCCCCUAUGAGGAAGUCACGGAAAAUGACAUCUCGGAGAAACAGAAGAGCAAUGACAUAGAUGAGAACUUAUCGCAACGAAAUCUAAUGGAAGAGCUGUGGGCGUUACAGCUAAACGGGUUCCUCAACAAGGAAAUAGAUUGCUUUUCUUACCAAAGUCCGACCGAACCCCAUGAUAGAUAUGGAGGAAAGGCGAAGGAGGAGUACCCGACUUUCUUCCGCCAGAUUCCACAGAAACCGCACUACCAAGGGCUAAUACAAGAGGGAGUGCCCGAGGCCAUUAAGGAGAUAGUCUAUUCAUCCUUAUGGUUUGGUCUUGUCGAGCUGAUGAGAAAGGCAUUGGAGACUACUUGCUUCACGAGCGAGAAAGAUAUUGACGAGUUGAUGGGCCAGGCGCGCGGCCUCGAGAACUUGGGCUUCGAUGUGAGGCACGUGAUCGCACGGCUGAAGCAGCCCGCGAUCUACCGGGCAGAGGCGGAUCAUGCAAAGAAGGAACUCGAAGAGCUGAAGAAGAGGAAGUCGGAAGUAGAGGACAGAGUGAAGGAGAUCAAAAGGAAGGAAGAUGAACUAAGAGAGCUCAGGAAGGCGAUGGGCCUUGUCAAGCACAGCGCGCCAAUUGCUUAUCCGCGGGAGUGGAUUCCCAAUCCAGAUGAGGAUGCGUUGCAGAUGCUGAACUUGGAGGUACACAACGCUGAGUAUUUAGCUCAAGAGAAAGAGUACAAAGUAAGAUCGUUCGGUUUAAGGUUAUAAGAUCCGCAAUUGAUGGUGAUGUGCCGGAUGAAUCAAGAUGCAGAUUGUGUCAAGCGAUUAUUUUCUUAUUAUUUUCCUUCUCUUUUCUUAGUAUUGUUUACUUUUCUAGCUUCUAAAUAAUUGUUCAAACUGCCCUUUGCAUUUUAAUUUAGUUUUCUAAGUACAUAAACCUUCUGUUAUUCGGUGAUUCUUUAGUUGCAACUUUAAUCCCUGGAAAACUUCUGCAAAGUGUGAGUAAAUUAGAUUUUAUCAUGUUGAAGUACAUAAGAGAUGAAAAGUUGUAGUUUUUUGAGGUAAAUCUCCUAACAAGGAACAACACUUCUCAUUAUUUUGAUAACUAAGCAAGGUCAACAAUUAAUGACUCAGAGACAUUAAAUCUUAAAGAGAAAUAAAAUCAAACACUUUGUGUGCGGCGGAAAACUUACUGCUUCGGCUUCUUUCCGGUGACGGCAUUGGAAGCUAAGUCUCUGAGGAACUUCACCGACUUCGUCACGGGCGAAUUCGCCGCCAUGAGGUUAUAGAGAACGCUCUCAACCUCGCCGAUCGACGGCCGCUUCUUAAACCUUGAAACCACCCUCAUCUCCCCCUUCUUCUUCUGCUCCCCUUCCUCCUCCACCAUCACCACCCAACCUUCCCCACUCAACACCCCAUCCUUCACAAACCUCAAAACCACGCCUUUCCUCUUGCUCAGGAUCCCCCUCACCUCCAAGCCCAUGAAGGAAUACACCACAUCAAAGGACCCAACGAAGCUCCCCAGUCCCCCACCAAAGUCCUUCUCCUCCUCAAAAGCCCAUUUUGGGUUGAACAAAAUCGCGGGUUUUGGGUACAAAGCAUUGGUGAUGGCCCUAAUCUCCUCCAACUGGGUUCGCUCCGGCGCCGAGAACACAACGAAAUCCGCGGGGCCGAGUUGCUCCGGGAUAACAGAGGCCACGUCCGAGUUGACAACGGAGCUGGGCAUUGCGUCGAACACCUGGUGGGCGCAUUGUAGAAGAGCAGGGGAGGGCCAGAGGAUGAGGAUGCAUGGUGGUUUUGAGCCCUUUUUGAUGAUGAGCACGUCGGAGAAGAGCUCGGCGGCGAGCUGGGCGAGAGAGGAUGGGGAGUCGUCGAGGAGCGGGAUCUCGACGCGGAACCUGGGCUGCUUCUGCUUCUUGAGCUUGCGCGUGGGGAGGGAGGGGAGGGGGUUGUUGAGGGGCUUUUGGAGGGUGGUGGAGAGGGAGGUUCUGGCUUGGGAAAUGGCUUCUUCUCGCGAGGAUGGGGGAGAGGGAGAGGAGAGAGCGCAGGAGACGAAGAAGUAGGUUUGAGUAGGAGGUAAAGAAGAAGAAGAAGAAGAAGGGGUUUUAAUGGUGCGAGGGGAGUUGAGGAGAUUGAAGGCCAACAUUUUCCUUUUAUUUAGUUCUGCGGUAGUGGCUUUUUUUUUUUAUUUAGUUUAUUCUUUUUGGUUGCUAUGAGCGCUCCAUGAGCAAUUUGGAUAAGUGUAGAGAUGAAAAUGGACCCCACAAAAUUGCUAGCAAAUUUCGAGCUUAAGAGAAGGGGCUGAAAUCCUAACGAAUUAAGGGUCUGAUCAGAGAAAACUUUUUUAUCAGAUGCCAUCUUAUUCAGAUCCAUUUUAUAUUGCCAUAUCAAUAUCGAUGUUACUUAGUUUAAGUUACCAGAGAUUCUAGUGAUAUUUGGUAGGUGUUAGUGAUAUUUGAUGAAUAAGAAGUUGAGUCGCCCAGACGCUAAAAUGAGUUUUGUGAUCUUUAGCAGCAAAAGCUAAGAUCUAGGAAGCACUAUUAUCUGCUGCAAGAAGAAGGAAGUCAUUUGAAAAGUUUAAGAUUUGCAAUUACAUUUUUAAACGGCUUUAUUGAAAUCAGCACCACUGUAUUGGACAUAGAUAAUAAGGAUUAAGAGGUGAUUAUUUAUCUAUAAAUACCCGUUACAUGAACAAACUAGAAAGUAAUACGGAAGCGAGGAGCAUGGGCAGCGGCGGUGGUGGCUGUGGCCGAGACGAUCGCACAUGGUGCAGUACCCUGCCAAGGUGAAUUCGUCACCCGGUGCCACCGCCAACGGGCCGAACUCGAAGACUGUGGGAUCAGAUUCUCGCUGGCGCGCCUCCACUGCCCCAUUCAUCGCCACCGGCACCUCCUCAGCCGCCGAUGCCGAGCUCACCGGCUUCGCGGCAGCAGCGGAGGUGCGAGCGUCGCCUUUGACCUUCCACCGAGAGAGUAAUCCCAUGCUAUAUUGUGCUUCUGUUGAGGCGAUUAUGCGUCUGUUGGAUUGGAUUACGAGUGACUUCCCUUUGUACAUAUUAGCGCCCGCAACGUGAUUGUUUAUACGGUAAAAUGUGAUUGAUGGAUUAAUCGUGUUAUAGUAAACCCCGUACAUGAGUUAAUGAUAUGAGUACGACACUGUUGUGCAAUUAGAGAGUUUGUACCACUCAUAAGCUUUGUCGUUUGGUUUCUCAGAUUUGACAUCUCCUACCAUACUAGCCACAGGGAAAAAUUAAAAUAAAAAUAAAAAAAUAAAAAAUAAUAAUAAUCCCAGUGAUCUAAAGUUAUUCACUGGACAAAUCUACGUCUGGCAUACACUGAAUUUAUUCAUAAAGAUAUUACAAGACAAUCCAGACAACUUAAAUUCAAAGUUAUAAAAAUGACACAGCUUAAGCUUGGAGAGAGAAAUUCAGAGUUCUUUUUUCCUCAACAUGAGGAAAUUAGUUCGAGAGAAAUUUAGCAUGAGAAAUGGAUUGAACAAUGAUGAUCUUAAGCCACUGGAGGGCAGGACUCGGCGUCCUGCGAGGUGUCGACAUCUGCAGGGGGCAUGAACUGCCACAUAGGAUAUCCCGGGUAGCCGAUGAGAGGCAUCACCAGCUUGUGACCUGCCGAUUGACCCGGGGCAGCAAAUGCGGCCGGCAUGACAGGAGGGUGCGGCAUGUAGCUCGGACGAGAGUUUAUGAUCUUUAUUUGCUGCUCCAGGCUCUCUUUCUCAGCCUUCAGCCUCUGCUUCUCGUCGCGAAGCUCAUUCUUCUCGGCCUGUGAGAAAGUUGGAAUCGGCGUGCAGUGUUAAAAAGAACAAUCAUAGCUAAUCGAUACACUGGCAGGUAAGAUAAGAACUUUAAAAAAUUGCAGCAAGGAAUUGACAUGGAGGGAAACAUGAGUGAAAACCUGAAGUUGACUGCUUUGGAAAUCAAAUAAAUGAAUCACCCAAACUCAAUAUAGCAAUUGCAUACCAUGUGAAGAAAUAUACAACCACAGAAAACAGAGUAUGGCAAAUGUUAAACUUCAAUGCAUGGCAGUCAAGGAUCAAAACAAGAAGUUCAAUCUAAUCUUUCCUAAGAAAAUGACACUUUAGAAAAUAAAUGACACAAGCAUUAAAGAUAAACCUUUAGCUCUUUGAUCUUUUCUUGGAGACUCUCAUUUGACUCUUUCAGCUUUCGUGCUUCACUACGUAACUCGGUCACCAUACGGACUGCAUCACUUAAAAUAGCUGCUUUAUCCAUUUUUGGUGGCUUACCUGGGUCCAAAAUGGAGCCCAACUCCAAGAACCUUAAAGUGAAAGUUAACCCAAAAAAAAAAAUGUAAAAAGAAAAAAGAGCCAGCACAACAUUGGUCAGCAAAAGAGAUGUAAAAGUGGAGCACAUACUUAUCGUUCAGCUUAUCCCUUCUCAUUUUCUCUCUACAAGCUUUGGAACUUGGCUGACAGCUUUCAGACCUAACACUGCAACAAAGAUACAAAUUAGUAACAGACAAAAAAAAAGUCAGCUUAAAAUCAUAUCAAUUUUUAAAACCAAACCGUUUAUUGGAGCCUCGUUCUUUGACACAUUCAGAGUCCAAAAAGGAGCCACUUAUUUCAACCCUGAAAAGAAUAAGAACAUGCUUCAAUAAUCUGGUAAUUCCAAUUAACUAAUACAAAAGAGCAACGAUCAAAAAACUAAAGUGUAAUAUAAGAAUCAGCAUAAAGGGUAUCCCUUUGAUUUCCAAAUAGGGUUGAACAAGACUACAAGUCCAUCUUAACCAUAUAUGUAUAUCAUUCCUAUACACAUAUAGGUCAGCUAAGUAAAUGUCAUAAAAUGUGAUAAAACCUAUUAUAGCAUGCACGACUACAAGUCCAUCUUAUCCAUAUAUGUGUAUCAUUCCUAUCCUAUUUCUACAUUUAUAAACAAUCAUAUAUAAAUUCUAAAUACACAGAAGAGGGAACUCAUCAUUUCGCCACAUGUUGCAAUUUCCACCCUCCUCUAUCCUCCUCUCUUAGUUGCCUACUCCUCUCUUCUUAUUCCCUCUCUGGCCGGCUGCAACUGUCAAAACAUCGCCCGUUUAGGAGGACCAGGACUAGAUGUAAUCGGUCAGAUUGAAUCCAUUAUCAAACUAGUCUGGUAUGUAUUUUUCUCCAGUUGAGUAUAGUUUAGUUGAUUCAUUAAUUCGGGUCUGAAUCUGCCCUAUGUGAGCCAAUAGAGUCUUGAAUUUGCAAUGAGUGGAUUUAGGAGCAUAGGAUCAUUAUAGUAAAGCUAGUAAACCUUAAUUGAUCUAUGUAAUUUAGCUUAGUUAGAUCUAAGUCAGCUUUCCUAACUUUGAGAAAUUGUGGACGAAGUUUCACCCAUAAUUAUGAAAAUUUAUUUAUAAAAUCAAAUGGAAUCCCAUAUGCCUACAAAUAAAUGGCAUUCAAUUGGAGUACUUAGACGAAAUUGUACUGGCUAACUCACUCUUUGUAAGCGUUCUUCUGGACUAAAAAGAGAGCAAAUAAAGACGAGUAUAUAUAAUUGAUGGGGAAUACCAAAACUGAUAUAAGUUCCAAACACUAUAAAACCAUUACACAUGCAGAAUCAAGCGGCAAAAAUAAUCUCAACAUCACUUUUUUUCUCUGUUAUAAUCAACAAAAGUGUUAAGGUAAAGCAUAAAAGUAGAAUCUUCAGAACCAAACAUCUUGUAACAUAUGAUUACUUAAGACUCUAAUAAUACACAAUUAUGAGAUUCUUCCAUUAUCUAUGCACCUCCAAAGCAUCCUCAAAUCUCCAAUACAAUUUUCCCCUAUAUUACUCAAGAUUAUUCUAUGAAGUACCUUAACCAAUUGGAGAAGUUGCAACAUCCAGUAACUUACUAAAUACAAAUCCUAAUUUGUAACACAAAUAAAAGCAAGCAAUAGACGAAACCUAACACAAAUCAACGUAUACAUGCAAUCCGGAAUAGCAUGAGCAAUAAUCUACAGGAAAUUACUGAUGAGGAGCAGCGAAACCCUAGCCCUAAUCGACGACAUCAAUCAAAGCGAUUCAGAAAGGGAUCUCGGAUCCGAUCGUACCCGCCAUUGGAGGAUCCGUUGAUUCCCUGCGAUCCCCAGUAGAAUCCGCUCCCCGACGCCGGGAAAUCGUCGCCAGCGACGGCCACGUCGUCUAGGAGGGGGCAAUCGAAGACCCAAUUAGCGUUCUCGGAGGAACCCAUCCCCGGUGCCUCGCCGGAGCCCUAUAUCCCCUGCCGGUGAUGUCCGGCCAAUCUCCGGUGAUCGUCGGAGAACGAGGGUUGCGCUCUUAUCGGGUAAAGGGAGAGAGGAGAGGAGAGUCGGGGAUCGAACUCGUAAUGGGUUGGUGGAGGUAAAAGCGUGAAAAAUAAUAAAAAUAAUAAUAAUAAUAAUAAAAUAAGGUGCAAUGAGUUGGGCCUAUGGAAGCCCAUUAAAGGCCCAUAUUAGGGCCCAUAUUUAGGGCCCAUCCAUAGGCUACUGAAUUUCAACAGUUUUUUUGAAAAAAAAAAUCCUAAAUAGAAGAACUAUGCAAUUUUAAAGAGUAUUCACAAUAUUUUUUACAAUGGAAUGUUAAAAUUACAGUAAUAUAGUACGUACUUAGUUUAUUAUAUUUAUGUUUUUCCUUUUUUUGUUUUUUCUAUAUUAAUUAACAUAGUUAAUAUUCAUGCAUCUCUAGAGCAAGUGGCAAAGGGCUCGGUGAUUGGUAUCCGAGACUCAAGUUCAAAUCCUAGUUGAUUCACAUUUUCAGCUAAAUUUAUUUCUAAUAAAAUAAACGAAGCAGGUAGCGUACUACCUAUCUCUCAAAAAAAUAAUCUGGCGAAGCAUCUACCAUCUUUCUUUUUAUUUUUCUGAAAAAAAAGGGAAAUGUUAUGAGUGUUUGGUAAAAAUGCUGGUGUUAAUGUGGGAGUGAGUUGUGUAUAUGCUUCUUUUUUUUUCCCCAUGAAAUCUCCUUUUGCUAUGUGAAUUUAGAAUGUUGGUAUAGUUAAACGUUGGAACACUGGAUUGGGUUGCAUAUGAGAGUUGACAAUGAGAAAAGGACAACAUGGAAAGCAUAUUUUGCAUCACUAGAAAUUGGCCUGUUUUACUUUACUACUAAUGCAUCAUCAUCACACCUCAAUUAAAUGGAUAAAGAGAAAAUACUCUUUUUUCUGAAGAUAAAAAGAAAGAAGGAAAAAAGACACGCUCCCACCGGUGAAGAGAAGCAAUGAAGAAAGCACUUUUCAAAAGCAUAUACCAAAGUAUUAGAAAAACAAAUUCAGCUACUUUUAGCCGAAAAACAAAUGAUAGCCAAGCUAUUAGUAUUCCUGAUAAGGCAUCUAGGCGAGGUGUGGGCGAGGUCACUGUUUGAGUUUUCAGCGGAGCAGGAGGGUUAAAGAGCCAAAUACGAGCGAGCUGAGUAUAGCUCGUGUUCGGCUCGUUUAAUAUGAGCUCGUUUCAUAAACGAGCCGAACACAAGCUGACUUGUUAAAAUAUCGAGCCGAAAAAUACAACUCGCAUUCGGCAUGUUUCAUAAACAAGCUGAACCGGAACAUUGGAGACCACAAGCCAGGCCAAACUGAGAUUAUUCUUUGGUACAUAAAAACGAUGGAUACAUUAUUUUAAUAAGUGUUCUGCUGGCUCCUCUUUAAGAAGAGGCUUUUAAAGACAGAUAAUCUAUUAAAGAGAGGUUGGAUCAGCAACACGCCCUGUGUAUUGUGUGGGACGGCUAAGAAAACUAUUGAUCACCUAUUCCUUAUAUGCGUUUUUUCUAUAUUUCUAAUGAUGAUUACAUUGGAGAGCCUCCUCUGAAGAUUUGGGUGAUGACUAUCGUUAAAUGGAUAUAGCUAGGAAUGGAUUGCAUCCUAUGAGCACUAAGCUACCCGGCCUAGUACCCUGCUGAUGGGUAUUGUGGGAUGUCAGGAAUGGUGCAAAUUUUAAAAAUACCCAGUCGGACUCUUUCCUAGCAGUCUAUAAAAUUAAAUAGUCGACGGGACUUUGGGAGCAUUUACUCUCCGCAAAUUGGCACAACUGUAAUCAGGAGCUUCUUUUUUUUUUUUUCACCCUCUCCGAGGCCUAUGUAGGCUCACCGGCUCAUCCCUAUCGUUUAGUUUAUCUUUCUAAUAAAUAAAGCGGAUAAUGUGCUGUCCAUUCCCGCAAAAAAAUAAAAAAAAAUGCCAUUAAAAAAAAAACAAAUCUUUAACACUUCCAUGAUCCAAUAAAAUAUAUUAAAAAGGUUCUUUCAUUAUCGAUCUUAAAAUUACCAAAUUAAUCACGAUAUAUAGCCUUAUUUCAUAAUUGAGAUGAUUAUUAUUAUUAUUAUUAUUAUUAUUACCUCCGAAAAAGAGCUAGUACGUAUGGUGUUAAUGCUUGGUCAAACUACAUUAAUCGGGAGUCUUAGAUCACUCUUUUCAAAAAACAUUUUUUUAAAAAAAAAACUCUGCUGAGCUACUGUACCAAAUUGCUAAGACUAAAUUACUAAGUAAUAAUAAUAAUAAUAAUAAUAAUAAUAAUAAUAAAAAACCGCUAAUUCAUGGAAAUCAUCAUUGCUAAGACUAAUUAAAGCUGUACAUCAUUCAUAAUUUCACUCCGACGCUCCCAAAUCACAAUUACUCCUGAAGAUCAAACCCUAACUAAAAACCCCCACCCAAAAAAGACCAAAAGAAAGGGGGAAAAAAAAAAAAAACCCUGAAAUCGCAAAAAUUACACUAACCAAGCGAAAUUUUCGAAAGGGCGGGGCCCUGCGCCGCGAGCGGCGGCGGAGGAGGCGGCGGCGGCGCGGCGGCGGCGGUGGCGGUGGCCGGCUCCGGCGAGAUGGGGCGGCACCCGGCGGGGUCGGCGCCGCAAUCUUGGACCCUCCUUUUGGCCCCGCGGCGGAGAAGCCCGAAGCCCACGACGAGACCCACCACCACCAACAGGAUCACCACGAAGAAGAAGAUCUUCGUCGCCUUCCCCACGUAGCACAUUGCUGUAGAGAGAGAGAGAGAGAGAGAGAGAGAGAGAGAGAGGGGGAGAGAGAGAGAGAGAGAGAGGGGAGGAGUGUAAUCAUAAUGGGUGUUUUGGAGAGGGGAAGGUGGAUUCUUUUUACCGAAAUACCCUCCAGCGUGAAGGGUUUUUGUGGGGAAGGAGAGGGGUAAAAUUGGUAUUUUGGAUGGGAAGGGGGUGAUUCGCUUUCGAGCCUUCACAGUAGCAAAUGUCUCCAAUUAGCUUAACUUAUUAAUGGCUUUUUAUUUUUUUAAUAGAGUCAAAGAGUUAGAGUUAACUUGUAACUUAAUUUGACUUAAAUAAAUGCCCAGAUAUUAAGUUAAAUUUUUUUACAGUUUAAUGUGUAGUAAUUAUUUUACUAAUAUGUUGAUUAAAUUGCUCAUUUAAAAUACAAAACCCAUCUUCCUUCUUCAACUUUGAUAAUAAUCUGGCAAUUGAUAGAUUUCGUCUUUCAAAAUAACGUUGCAAGGCUAUUCGCUUUAUUAAUCUUAUAAAAAAAAAAAAUUCAAACACACAGAAAUUUAAAAAUAUUAUAUACAAAACGUUCAUUUGUCCAAAACCAUCGGCGAUUAAAAUAACUUACUCAUCAUUUUUAGUAUACUUCAUUUACAAUUCGAUCAUAUUUGUCCAGUGAAUAGCUAACUAAACAUUCCUUCUAUAACAAAUGUGUAGAGCUACUAUACUUUCAAAAGUAUAAAGAAGUAAGUGUUUUCUGCUUUUUAACUUUUGGAUUAAGAACUGUACGAUUAGGAUAAUAAUAAUCCCUCUAGAAUUGAAUAAUCUCCCUAGAAAAAUAAUAUUAAUCUAAGAAUUAUAAAUAAUCAAAGAGGUUGAUCCAAAAAAUAAGAACUUAAAAACAUAGACUCCUUUAUACUUUCGAUUGAAUCAUAGUCAUAUUCAUAACAAGUUUAUCAUAAGUUAGCUAUACAAACCAAAAUUACCAAAACACCCUUUGCCCCCUCAGCAUGUGGAUCAGAGGAUUUCAUUUGAAUGGCCAGUGGAUCUUACCAGUCCCAAACUCUUCUUCUGAGUGGAUAAACCACAAAAACAGAAGCAUUGUAUGCAUAACAAACUCACACAUGCUUCAUACUUUUGCUAGUAGUGCUUCUCCCACAAACCCUAUGGCCACUUCUCUCUCUACCAUCAAUGGAUCAGCUUCCCAAUUCUCCCCAGCCAAACUAAAACAAAUCAAAAACCACAAACCAAAAUAUCAAAGCCUACAAUCUUACAUGCUGGCACAAGCCCAAGAAUCCCACUCCCUCCCAUCCAAAAGCACUAUAACUGCACACACCGUCUCAAGAAGAGCUUCUUUAAGCUUCUCCAUGGCCCUCCUACUUCACCAACUACACAUCGAACCCUCGCGAGCCGACGAGGGGAAUGGAUUAUGGCUCACUGGCCCGUUGCCUGUCCCCACAGUCACUAACAGUAAGCUCAGUUUGCUCUCAUUCUCAAGCUCACUAUCAUAGUUUCUUCUUCAUUAUAAUAAAGUGUUUGAUCCAUUGUAGAGAUCGCAAAUGAAGAAACAGGCACGCGAUCAUUUCUUAGGAACGGGAUUUACAUAGCGAAUAUAGGACCCCAAGGAAGUGCUUUUAGGCUGAAGCACUACUCAUUUGAUCUACUAGCUUUAGGAGAUAUGCUGGGCCAAGAAACAAUGAGCUAUUUUAGGAAGUACCUGUGUAUGAAGUCAACUGUCAUGUACUACGAUUUCGAUAAGGUCAUCUCCGCAGCUUCUGAUGAGCAGAAGCAGCCGCUUACAGACCUUGCCAACCGAUUGUUCAACAAUGUUGAGAAGGUGAGCUACUCCAUGUUUUCGCUCUGCUUAUCUGUUCAUAAUUCAGAAGACGCAUUAGUAGGGAAACAUUCCAAUUAAUAGCGUUGCGAAUUCCCAGGGCAAAUUAGACAAAUUCCCCAGAUCAUCAGUUUACAUUUUAUUGAAUUAUUCUUAGUUAACAGCUGAAAUUUCAUUUACUGAAGAACCAAAGUAAGCUGUCGUCCCAAACUUCAUUCGUGAUAUAUUAUAGAGCAGAAUCUUCAUACAUUGAUCGAAGUUUCCUGCAGGCAUUCUAACAAAGUGAAUUUUGAUCAUUGAACAGAUUGAAGAGGCUGUGAAGACGCAGAACAACACUAUGAUGCAGUCUUGUUAUGCAGAUACUGUACCGAUUCUCCAGGAAGUUAUGGCACGAAUGGCAUAAAGAUUGUAAACUGGUGACAUAUGCUCCCUUGGAAGAAAUCCUGAAAUUCAUUUCUCAGAAAUAGAACAAUAAGAUUACAAGAUAUCCUUUUCUCACAUAGUAUGGCAAAAAGAGCAUUAAUUUGUAAAGGUUUGGGAUUGGCAUUCAAAGUGCUAACUUGAGAGCACUAUUGAGAUAUGUUUGUAACAUAGAAUGACUAGAUAAAAAUCCCUCUCUAGAGUGGCUGCCAAAGGUAUUUUAACAAAACAAUGAUAAGACUACAACAUUGGCCACAAACAAUAUGAAGAUUGCUCUAAUCAACUCAUCAACUGUUUCACAUAUUGAGCACAACUUACGUGAAUAGUGCAAAAUUCUUUAGUACAGGAACAUGAGAAACAACAAGAAUUAGUAGUAAUCUUCAUAAAAGCACAUUCAAAUCAAACUAUCUCAAAGUCGCAACUUAAGAUACUAUCACAAGAAUUCUCAUGAUACACUUUCAUAAGACAAUCAGAUAGGUGACUAUAACUGUUAAUACAAAUGUAGCUACAAUCAUGAUCAGCUAAAAAAACCCCGAAAGAAACAACUUCACCGAAGGUUCUCUUUGAUACAAAUUUCAACACACUAAUGUCCUUUUUCUUUCGGCAGCAAUGAUAAUUGCAUUGCCUUGAGAUACAAAUACAACCCACACAUUUGAAGGGCGAGUUUAGUCACAAAAAUAUAUCUUGAAAUUCUAUUGACCGAGGGAAAAACCAGGGAAAGAUAUGAUUUUAACCAUAGCUUAAUCGGGAAUCUAAAGUCCGCAUCUGAGUCUGACGCCUAGGGACGCCGAUCUCACAAGCAUUUACCCUUGCGGCAAACCUAAGCGAACAGAUUGAUUCCCCUGUUGAGGAUGCCUCGGGAGAGAUAUUCACAAACAUUAAGGUUUUCGAGUCACCUCCAAGGCAUGGCUGCAGUUCAAGAAAUCAAAAGGAUAAGAUUUAAGGGAAAUGUAAACACUAAGUUUAGAUCUUAAUCAAAAUCAUCAUAAAGCAAUAUUACCUGAAGAAGAUAUGUUAAUUUGGAAUUUCUGAAUGGUACAUGGUCCUCUUUCUUUGCGAUAGAAAAGAUAACAUCACUUAAGCAUGAUAAGCUUUUGUUAAUUGCCUGAGGAUACACCGUCGAACAAAUAUUUUUGAGCAAAAAUGGAUAAUGAGAGGGGAGUUUUCAAACAAAAUUAUGAAAUAUAUAACAACUAUAGAAGAUGCUUACCUGAGUUUCCUUGAGGCGGUCACCAGUUGAGCCACUUUUGGCGAGACGCUCGCUCCCGGCAAGAUCAAUUAGGUUUAGUACUCCUUGAACUUGCUGAUCAGUGCUCUGCACAAGAAUAACUGAUUCAUCAGUAACUUAGAAAGAAGCCACUGUUGGUAAGUGAAAAUAACAUUGCAAUUACCUCGUUAACCCCAGAAAUCCUCAGUGUGAAGACAAAAUGGCUUCUAGAAGACUGUUCAUUCAUCUGAGUCUUUCCAACUGACCUAGAGAUACAAAGCAGCAAACGCAAGAAAGAAUUAUCAAUUCACCAAGAAAACAAACUCUUGUUCAAGUAUUAUUUUCCAAGUACAAAGCAAAUCAACAUGGACUAUAUCAACAGUCAAGUAUUGGUCCAUAACACACUAACAACUAUUAUAUUGAAGUACAAAUAGUUAAAUAGUAAAUACAACAGACAAUUUUUCAUUAUUCUUUCAAAUUUUAAUUGAUUACUAUUUUAACCAACAUUUUACACUACCAGCUUUAUUCCACUCCAUAGAAUAGCACAUGAUAUAUUGAAUGGACGCAACAAAAGGAAAAGGUAAAGGAAUAGUAGCACAUACCUAACAAAGUGACCUAAGAGAGUUCAAAAACAGACCUCGCCACAAGGCUAGAAGGUAGCAAAUUUUGCAAAUUUAAUUGCUAUUAAAUCCAAAAUUUGAGUAAAACUGGAGCUUACUCAACUUACUGUAACAAACUAAUUGAAAGGAAAGUAAAUAAUCAGUAAUUAAAUUCUAGCAUUUUAAACAUUUAACAAUACUGAGUUACCAUCAUCAGUACUAUAAUGUCAAAACAUAUUAAUCUUUCUUGGACAAUGUUUAGACUUUAAAAAUGCUCACCGGCUCUGUGCGGCCUGCCGUAGGAGGAAAGAGACCUCAUUGAUACUGCAUACAUCUACGACUGUAAGGUCAGAUACAUGCGUGUUUCCAUUUGCAUCGUGUUUAAUCAAAUACUUGGAAGCACCAGUAUCUUGACUGCCCGACCGAUUAGGAUUCAACAGAUCACGAAUUGUUUCAUUAUAAAUUUCAAGCAUGGAAGCCUACAAAUAUUUAACAACAUAAGACUGUAAUAACUGACAAAUUAGUCGCAUCAGGAACAAGAUAUGUAUGCAGGAGAUAAUACUGAAAACAAAAACCUGCAUUUUGAACCUCCAACCCUGCGAUAGCAGGGACUGGCUAGCUUGGAAAAUUUGUUCUAGUGAUCGUGGUAUUAAUCCUUUCUGUUCGAGAAAAUCAGGUUUGCCCAUCAUUGUAUAAGUUUUUCCAGAGCCAGUUUGGCCAUAGGCAAAUAUGCAAACCUGAGAAGAUUGAAUUGGUAACUUGUCAAAAUGGAGAUAGCAUUACUACUGAAGAAGAUGCAUACACUGAAAUAGAAGAAAAACAUAUAGUAGAAUGCAUGAAAUUAAUAAGGCAAUCAAAAUUAAAAUGGGAAAUACAACAUAAUGGCCUCUUCAUUUAUCUAAUAAACAGCAAAAGUAAUAAUAUACACAAGAAAAGUAAAAUAGCAUAAAUAGAUAUACCUUAUACCCAUCAAGUGCACUUUGUACUAGCUGUGAAAUUUCAACGAAGACAUCCUCUUGUGAAGCAUCUUGAUCAAAGACUUUAUCAAAUGUAAAGGAGUAUUUUUGUGCUGAAUUAAAAAUACAAAUUAUUAUCAACUUUGUUCUCCAACAAAUAAUUUCUGUACACAAUUUCACUAACUUUUAAGUUAAGAAAAGGGAGAUAGAGAAAAGAACUAACAAUUAUGCAUCAAGUCAAUGCCACGGCCAAGAUAUUCAGUAGAGGUUGGAUAUGAAAGAGCAGCCCCUUCUACCCCGUUAUUUUCACCGUCAGGUAAUAAUGGUCGCACUCUACAAAAGACUCGAAUAUUUCCUUUUAGUUCCUGAAAAGAAGAAAUGAUUUAGCACCAGUAUCUUCUGAUCAAUAGUCCUUCUAGUUCCUGAAAAGAGAAAUGAUUUAGCACCAGUAUCUUCUGAUCAAUAGUGAAAAACCAAAAAAAGUGUUACCAAUAUAGUAUUAUGCAACUUUUUGCGUAAUUUCUCUCCUUCAGAAAUUUGCUGUUCUGCAUCAGCUAACCGAUCCUGCAGAUCUUUUAACAUUUUCUUUUUCUCCUCGUUCUCUGACAUUGUCUCCAUGGCUGUUAGAUCAGCCAUCUAAACAACUCAAUAAGAAAGAUAAUUAGGAAUCAAAUAAUGAUUAGCAGAUAAUUAGUAAUCAAAUAAUGAUUAGAAGAUAAUUAGUAAUCAAAUAAUGAUUAGCAGCACUACAAUGUAUUAUCUAUAACAGUUAGAGAGCAGUUUUUGUACAAAAAUACAUGACACUGAUGACAGUAAAAAUAAAACAAAGGAUAUUCUUGCACAAUUGCAUUUAAAAAAAAGCUCAAAGAUGUUAGUGUCUUCUCAAAAUUGUAAACACUUAAUAAUUGUAAGUACGCAAUAUAGGGAAGUUCAGAAACAGAUAAAAGCGCGAUCUCAUUGCAGGAAUGGUGGAGAAAGUCUCUUGACAAAUACAUGUAAAGUGCAAUGUUUUUUCAGUUAAAAGAAAGGGAUGAGAGUCCAGCACAUCCUAUCAAAGAAAAUCUUCAGUCUCCGUCUCUUUUUCUCUUUAUGGAAGUGUUAUAUUAUCUAAGACGUUCAAGUCUGAUCAUACUGUAAGAAAAAGAAUCUAAAGGUUGUAGUCACUUUUUCUCUUUAUGGAAGUGUUAUAUUCUCUAAGGCGUUCAAGUCUGAUCAUACUGUAAGAAAAAGAAUCUAAAGAAUGAUACUCUAUUCAUUUUAGUGUAGAGGAGCUAUAGUAGAAAACUUGCCUUUCAUCCCAGUAGAUAAUUGAAUGCAUAGAAAACAAAAACCAACCUUCAGCUUCUCAUUUGCAGCUGCAAGUUGAAGUUUCAGGGUCUUUAUUAUGUCUCUUUGUGAUGAACAGGCCUCCUGCAUAUUUAUAGACAGGAAUCAGGAUUCAGAUUAAUGUCCAAUAGAAAGAGCAUUAGCACGAAACAUAAAAAGCAUCAAGUGAAAACCUCAAGAGCAUUGGUUUUUGAUGUUGCAUUAUCCAGCUCCAAUGCAGACUUUCCAGUUAGUUCUUUGUACUUGACAAUUUCAGCCAUCAAACACUGCACCUGGUUUAAUUGGUGAUCACGAUCAUCUCUUACUUGCUGUAGUUCAUUUCUAAAACAGUUGAGUUCUUUCUUUAACUCUUCUUUUUGUUUAGAAGCUUCCUGUUGAGAAGCCUGCACUUAACAAGCACUAAAUAAGUAAUUAAUGCAUUUUGUUUUGUAAAGUACCUCUAAAAGAACCUGGAGAAGUAUAAUUAAUGAAUUAGUAAAAAACGAGGAGAUUCCAUAAUGUGCCAAUCCAAAAGGAUAGCAAAACUAGUGAAAAACAAAGAAUUCAAGCAAUAUGGCAGGAAUGAUGAUCUCUUAGUUUAGAACAGGACAGAGAUGGAAAUUGAAGUUAGACAUAUAAACAGGAUAAUGAUAGCAAACUUUCAUCCACAUAUGUCUUAAUUUUCAGAGACUAUAAGAACUUCUUGUGCUCUAAAUACUAUGCAAUGUAAUAUAUGCCUGCAUGUAUCAAAAGCAAUUCAAUUGCACAAGCAAAUCAAACUAUAAAAUCAUACCCUGGAAAUAUCCAGCUGAUUUUUGACAGAGUUGACAUGAUCCCUCAAACCGUUAAGGGUUUCCAUCAUGGCAUUUUUCUCCUUCUGCAACUUGGAUAUGGCUUCUCCAUUCUUUUGAGCAUCAGCUUGGAGAUUGCUGUUAUACUGCUGCAAGCUAGUAUUGUAUUCCUGAAGCCUCUUGUUGGUCUCUUGAAGCAUCUUAAUCUGAGAGAGAAUAAAAACUAGACUACAUAAAAAACAUAACAACAAUUUCUGAUUUUCAUGAAGUAUAACAUAACUGUACGAAUCGCCAUCACCUGAUCAUUAAGACGUUUUGCUUCAUGGCCAGCCUUAUCAAGCUCUGCUGACAGAGCAUUGCAUCGACUUUCUGCUGCCAACCUUGCUUCCUUUUCCUCCUCACAAGAUCUAAUAGCACCCUGCCAAUUUAUUAAAUUUUACAUUAUUUACCACAUACAACUCAAAGUAAACCUCAAGAAAAAAAAAAAAAAAAAAAAAAAAAAAAAGAAGCCAUUUUUUUUAAAUUACCCACCAUUUUCUCAGCUUCCUCUUUUCUAUAUUUCUCCUCUAAAGUUGCAAGCUGUUUCCGUAGCUCCUCAAUCGUUGAAUUUAGUUCUUCGUUAGUAUUUCUCAACUGGGCAGCUAUGCAGAUGCAGUUUGAAAUGUUUAAGACUUUUCUCAUGAUCAAUAUAAAUUCCCAAGAAAAACAAAGAAGAUCAAAGAACAGUACCGAUCUCAGCAUGAUUUUUCUCCUCGGAAUCUAGCAAAUUACGGAGCUUCUCCAUCUCCAUCAAAUUCCCAUCUUCCUGUUCCGUAAGCCAUUUGAUGCAAGCUCUGAGCUUUUUUAUAUACUCCAUCAUCUGUUCGCUCUUCCCCUACAUAAAACCACAGCGAACACUUAGACUAAGAUUUAAAACGGAAUUAACACCUCAAAUUAAACAAGCUCUUGAUUAUAUUCACCUUGAAGUCAUUCUUGUUCUUCCCCUUCAUCUUCUCAUUGAGCAGCCUCUCGACGUCCUCCCUCGAGCUGAACUCAAUGCCAACACCGCCAUUGGCGCCGUCGGCAGCCGCCGGAUCUCCUGCUCCGGCAGUGGCCCCCGCAUUGACGACCGAUAGAACCGGUCGGGACCGUAGAUUGCUCGUAGCUCCCACCAUCUUCCCUACGGCGACCUUUCUCCUCUUAUCAGCUCGACCCUCAUCUAAGUUCUCCUUUUUCUACCCAAAAAAAGGACCAAGAGACACAAAAUGGCACUACCACUGCAUCAAAGAACCCUAGAAGCCGAAAACCCUAACCCUAGGAGAAGAGAUAGAAAGAGAGAGAAGAGAGAAGAGCAAACCUUACAUUUAAAGGGCUCCGAGGCGGAUUGGUGCGGCUUCUGAGGGACAUCACAGAGAAUUAGGUUUUCGGGGCUUCGUUGGAGGUCAAAUUGGGGCGCGAUUAGGCUGAAAUCUUGUAGGGAUUCGAAGAAAGUAAGCCCGAAUUCCUCUUAAUUCUUCUUCUUCGUCGUCGUCGUCGUCGUCGUUGGAUUAGGGUUAGGGUUUUCCCGAUCCCCAAUUUCUUUCGACCUCGAGUGGAGUGGAGGGAGAGGAGAAGUGAGAGAGCCGUUUGAAUUAUUUUGAAACUGGGGACGGGCGCGGUCGGAAAAAUUUGCAUACCGAAAUUACCCUUCUCUUUUCUCUUAUUUACGGGACGAGGCCUCUCGUUCUCUUGUGUAUAACCUUCGGAGUUUCGAUCCAUGGGCCACGUGGGGGCCCAAUCAGAGAAUCCUUAGUGGAUCGGACGGUGGACGUUAUUAUUUAUAUUCAACGCUCGCCUCGUGUGUGGACUUAUAUAUGUUUAUAGUUUCAUGAUAUAAACUUGAACUAAAAAAAAUAAUAAUAAUAAUUUAAAGAGGUUGACAUGGUUGGAAUAUUCCAGUACCUCGUACUCUAAUACCUGCAAAACAAUCGUUGUUCUCGAAAAUUUAAGUUGCCCCAAAGCAAACCAAGGCAGUUUAGAAUAAGCGCCGGUACCAUAUUUACUAUCUAAAAAUCCGAUCCAAUAAAACUAGCGAUGACAAAAAGAAUUCACUGUAACAAUUGUUUUGAAGUUGAAUCAUUCAUAAACUGAAACUCUUUUUUCAGCAAAGUUGUUGAAUCCAGAUCAAAAGCACUGUUAUCAUGACUUCAUUUACUCAACUUACCUUUAAACCGUGAAAAAAAUUCACCUAGGUACAUUCACGUCAGCAAUCCGAGCACCAGGGAACUCAUCACCUUGCCUCAGAAGACUCGAGGACGCGAUAACCGCAGGCACUGCGACAGGCUCGGCCAUGAUCCCGUGAGCAACAAGUACAAGGCAGUCAAUCUCUUUUGUCGAAAGUGAUAGAACAUUGGGAUGUCGUGUUCUCACCGUAGGGGUCGACGAUUCGUGGAGGGUCGUAGAGGAUGUUCCGCAGGCUGUCUCCGUACUGCAGUACCCCGUGCCUCUCAACGGAGUUCUGUACUGGCGGUGUGCAAAAGACGGGACGCCCCUUACAACAUUUGAUCUGAUUGUGAGCUUUGAUCUGCGAGAUGAGACAUUCAGAUUUGUUGCGCUGCCGGAGGAGGCAACGCAUGUUCGGUUUCAGUCUCGCAGAGCCCCAGCAAAUCGUCAUAUGGGCUUUGCGGGAUUCAGAUCAUGCCUGGAUCAAGAAGUAUAGCAUUGCCUGCAGAUCUUUUGAGAACAAAUUUUUGAUCAGAGCAAGGCACGGCGACGAUGACGACAAUUUGUUCAUCCAGUUGCAGGAGGGCUUAGUUUAUUGCAACCUUCCAUCUAGAAGAAGGAGAUUGCUGGAAUGUACCAGUUACUGGGAUCUUCUGAACAAACAAGAGAUGCUGAAUUUGAGAUCUUCUGUAGACAUUGAACACUUUCAUGCUUUUCUUUAUGCAGAAAGCCUGAAUUCAAUUACAAAUGAAUGGUCAUACAUUUGUUUUUCUUUCUUUCCUUUAAGGAUCUGAUUUUGAUUUGCACAUUAUUUUUUUUUUUGUCAGAAUGAAUCUAAAUAUAUCUUUGGAUUUAACUCUAAUAGUCAACAAAAUACACCUUUAAAUUAUCCAAUUUGGAACUCUUGUUUUGCUAACCAUCUGCUAUGAUAAUGACAAGGAAUUCUACAUGUGUCUAAACAGAACGGCGAAUAGUACAACACAUCAAAAGAAUUUACAAAACCAAGGAGCUCUCUAACUAAAAGAAUGUCGUGUAAAAUUAAUCCAAAAAGGAAAAAAAAAACAAAAUCUGAAUUUUGUGUGGUGGCGGGGCGGAAACCAUCUCCGACCGAAGUAUGAUCCGUGUUCGAAACGGUUCGAGAACCAUUUGGUUUCGCGAGUUCUCUUGUGUGGUAUGUAUCAACAUAACCAACAUAAAAGUACAUGAAGAAUCACCGGUGCAUGGAAGGGCUUUUCUGCUACAGCUUACGAAGCGCUGAAAACAUGUUACAAGAUAGAAAAUAGAAGCAUUUAGAGCAUGAGCAGAGACAAAUUACAGAUUAUUUAUUUAGGGGAAAAAGAAAAAUCAAAUAGAAUGUUUCACAAGAGCAUAAUUAAUGGUUAUUUCAUGCAAAACAGAAAGUUUUCCUUUUAAUCAAAGCGCAACCUGCUUCCUCCUGUCUUUUCUCAAAAAAACCUGCUUCCUCCUGUCGAAGUCUUUGAACUCUUUAGGUUAGACAUCUUGUAAGCACAUCCUAUGUAAUCAAAAGAAUUCACAACCUAAAAUUGUAUGCUAGAUAGUCAUAUACAUUUUCUGCAAAAGCCAUCACCACAAAACCUUCUCUAUCCUUUCAUUCGAUUUUUCUUUUCCCUAAGCAGACUAAAAAAAUUUUAUGCUAUCCAUUAUGGUGGUCCGUUGAGUCCUAAACAAUCUCUGUCAGCUUAUUAUCAAAAAACGAACCACAUUAGACCACUGUUUAGAUUUCAGGUACUAAAUUUGUGAUAAACCCAAAGAAUACAUACCUCCCGGAUGUAGAUCUAACUCUCAUCAUCAGAACUGGAACUAUCCACCCUGCGAUCGGUGAUUGCGGGAAAGAGAUGCUGUCGUGGAUCUGGGACGGAGGAUGAUGAUGACGGCGCCGACUUUUGUCUACUUCUCGGAACUUUCGACACUUUCUUCUGUGACUCCCUAACCUCCUUGCAUGCCUUAUCCAACAUGCCAAGAAAGUCCCUCACAAUCACAAACAGCCGCAAACCCUCGUCUUUCCCAGCAUUUCCAUGGAAAUAGUCGACAGUGCUCUUGACAAGCAAUCUUAUUCUCUUCUCUUCCUCAAGCAAGAAAGUAACCUCUCCGUCAGCUCGCUCAGCGAAAUGCCUGAGUGAGUGGUGAAACCCACUGUCCUCCUCCAAACUUUUCAUGCUAGUAUUCAAGAAAUCUUUUACUUUCAUGAGCUUAUGGCCGAGGCUAGCUGCGGUACUCGUUAUGGCAUCAGCAUCAAGGCAUGCCGCCCUUUUCACAUUUUCGAGUUCAUCUCCUAAACUUGAAACAACUUUCAGGCCAAGAGUACGGUAAUGGUCUUCAGAUUCUUCAAAAGAAUCGUCAGCAAGAUCAUCAGAACUCAGGCUGGACAUGCUGCUACCCUGCUCCCUUGCAAUCCGUGCAGCACGAACUCCUUCAGAUCGAAUGAUCUCUUGUACAACGAAAUGUAAUAAUGUUGUUUUCCCAUCGAUUCCCUUCACGUCAGCCAAUUUCAAGAGGGUAUCUAGCUUGAAUGCCUGUGCUCCGCCACGAAAAGUGCCAUCGUUCAUGCGAUUCCCGAGUUUGAGAACAGCUUCCAAUAGCUUUAAGAAAAGCCGACUACUUCUAAGCUCCUUACAAGCUACCUGCGAGAAAAGGAAUUCUUUCUUACAGAUAGAUAUCAAUGCUAACCGACCUACAUGCUUGGAAACCCUAAGUGACACAGUUUAUGCCCAAACAUACUAAUUAAGUGGCUAUUGGAUAGCCAACGAAUCUACAAGUUAUCCAGCAAGAGCAGUCGUUGAAGACAUUGAAUAAGACAAUCAAAAUAAAAAACACAAUAUAUAAUUAGCUUCCCUCAAUCAAUUUUAUAAAAAAAAUUUUAAAAAAUCUAAAAAAUUCUUCGGCCUCUUUCGAUUACACUACCUUCCAUCAAUUUGCAUACAAUUCAUACAUCUAUGCAUUUUUGUUGGCAGCAGGAACCACAAGUAGAAGAGUAGCUUUUUCGCUUUUUUCCUCUAAAAAUUGCACAUUAAACAAUAAUAUGCCAAACAGCAACAAUGAAAAUAGAGAAAUCCACCCAUCAGGAAAUUCAAUCAUAAAACAACCAAGGUAACUGCAAUUCUUGGUUAGCUCGCAGAUCCUACCCGCUCUUCUCAGGAAAGAUAAAGCAAAAACUGAAAGCACCUAGUGGUUCCUAAAGAUUAAGUCAUUCUAUACAUAUUGAAGUAUGCUUACUCUUCUAUAAAUGGAACUGCUAUUAAAAUUAAUGCAAUCGCAAACCGAGAAGACAUGAAAAGGACUUACCUGUAAGGUUGAAAAUGACUCCUUCAGAAUUGCAGCUUCCUCUGGUAGCAAAGACAUGAAAAGUAAUACAUCAAGCCGCUGGAAAACAUAAGGAAUAUUCACCAGCAUUUUUAUGAACUGUUCCGCAGGUCCAAGUAAGGAAAUGUCAUCAUUAUACAGUCUUAUCUUCAGCUCUUCAUCAGCACUAGGAGCCAUUUUCAGCAGUGAUUGGAGCAACUCUAUUGGGAGCUCAUUUCCUAUUUGGAGGGAGAAAAAUAUUAUAUCACAACAAACGAAUCGCAAAAGAAGAUGCCAUGCAAAGUGGCGUCUAAGUCCUAGAAAGUUCUUAAGAAUUACCUUCAAUAACUGCGUCACAAACCUCUUCAGCUUUAACAUUCAAUGCUUUCAAUGAAAUCGCCAAAUUCUGUGACUUUUUGGGAUCAAGAAUCCGAAUAUAUUGAGUAGAAGCAUCCUUGAGUGCUGUCUCCUUGCCAUUGCUCUUAGUUUUAUCAGCAGUGUUAUAACCAAAUAGACUUUCAAUCAUCUCCUCACUGAACCUGUAAAUCACCCUCUAUUUAGUGCAAUAGUUUUAUUAUUCCAGGUAUUGACUUCAAGGUAAAAGAGUAUAUACCUUACCUGAACUAUAGCAUAUUUUAAUUGCUACCUGAACUUUGAAUAUCUUUACUCUUCUACCUAAUCCUACAAUAUGAUUGAUUUAAAUGCCCUGCAGUCAGGAACUAAAUGUACUUGUAACUUUUCUGAUGGAAUAUUCUGUAACCUAAGGAAUGUUUAAGUUACUUGGGAAAAAUAUACUAUGAUUUUUUUAUUUUGACCCAAACGGUUGAGUUUGCACAGAAGUUGAUGGAAGUUUCUGAAAUAAAAAGUACUAAAAAGUUAGCAAGUGAAAAUCAAAAGUUCCAAAAAUUUAUGUACUCAUUUCAAACACGCCAUGGUUCAGGUAAGUUGAUACUCGAUACAUUUUCACCUUAUUCUGAUAAAAUAGUGAGGGACAAAUAUCAGGAAACUUACUGGAAAGAACCCGAUUUGAUGUGAUCCCAGACCAUUGAUUGAUCGGGGUUUGCAAGAACUUUGUCCCAGAAAAACGGCUUAAGCUUGGUUUUUGGUGCAUUAGAGUCAUCCGUAUCAAGCUCCUGCCCAGACUUCCUUAAACCAGGUGGAGGCGGCACUUUCGACGAACUGGGGUUACCUGGUGGAGGACGGGGAGGAGGGAAAGCUGCUUUUGAUGGUGGUGGAGGGGGAGCACCACCUGGCUUUCGACCAGGAGGUGGCGGCGGAGGAGCAGGAGUAGGAGGAGUAGGAGGCCGAACUGGUGGUGGCAUUGCCGGAGGAGGUGGUGGUGGUGGAGCUUGUUGUUGUUGUGGUGGAAGCGGCGGCGGCGGUUUUUCUUGUGUAAUAGUGCUAGGAACACUGGAUUGCCCAACUGAAGAGUUGGAAAUUACUGAUUGCAUUCUGGUCAUCGGAGUUUCAAUUGAGCUCACCUUGAAUGAUGGAGCACGGCCAUUUUGGCUCGGUUCCCUUUUUAUUGGCAGAGCACCCAGCUUAUUUAUAUCAAUUGGAGUUGCCUGGCCGUAUGACUUUCGAGACGAACCUAACAUAAAGUCACAAAAAUCAGCACUCAAAUGCAAACUUAUAUGAUAAGGCCUCAUUGGGUUAUCCUACGUUUUGUCCUCCCUCAAGUUCUAUGCUAUUGAAUGCAUAUGCCGACAGUAAAAUGUGCAAUUUAUACACCUUUGAGACUUGUUUAGCAACAAGAAAAGGGAAAAUUGGUGAUAACGUUUCUUCACUUCCUUUUUCUUGAAAAGAAAGAUAACUUAGCAAGCUAACCAACAAUGAGAAGAAAAAGAAGUCCAUCAAUCCGGCGCAUUCAAUCACAUGGAGUUUGAGUUGGAAAAAAAAAAAAAAAAAAACAAUAACAUUGCCAAACAAGGUCUAAGAAUAAGAAGAGAGCUCUUUCAUACCAGAGAAGUCGCUUAAACUCAAACUAAGAAGCGGGCUGUCAUCCCUCUGGCUGUAAGCUAUAAAUGUCCUGUUUCUACGACAUCUACAAAAGCAAACAGCAAGAAAAGCUGCAAGAAGCGACGUCCCCACCAGUGUUAGAACAACAGCAACCGUAACUGAGCUUUUGUUGCUCUUUUGCUUUUUUGGUGGUGGAGGCGGAGUACGGUGUGGACUGCCUUUUUUAUGUUCUGGUGGAAAGAAAUCGCUGGAGGAAGCAGAUGAGGAUAAUCCGAUAGGAGAUGGUGGGCUAAAAUGAGCCGGAAUAGGCGGAGGAGCUGGAACAAAACUGGGGUUUUGAGUUGUAAGGCUUGGAGAUGGAGUUGAGACAUGAACUGGGGCAGGACUCGGAGAGGGUGCAGUGGAAGAGGCAGGAACUGAGGAUGUCGUAGUUGUAGAAGGUUGCUCAACCAAGAAUCUUCUUAAAACAGGGUUCCAUCUGAGUAAAGCUUCAAGAUAACCGGCCCACUGAUUUGUCAUACUGUCCUCGACAGAAUCAUGAAAAGUAAAACUUUGCUUGCUUAAACAAUCAAGAAACUCUUGCCUAAUUUCUGGUCCAAUGCUACUAAUAGCUUCCUCUAAGCUGUCUUUCAAAGAAGGCAUUUUUCUUGGAUCUAUCUCAUUAGAAUCACGGAGAACAUCAACCAAAAGAGAGUCACCAAACGUUUUUCCAAUUUCCCCUAUCAUUUUCAUAUCUAGUCCGCAACUGAUCCAUACUUGCCGCACCUGUAGUCACAACAAAUCACAUUGCCAUAAAAAACAAAAUUAGAAAUUUCAUCGAAGGCAUACGAAUUAUAUGCAAACAACUGUUUUGUCGCAAGGGAAUUCCCAGGGGAAUAUGUUCUCGGCACAUACGAGAGUGUCAAAAAAGUGUCUCAGAAACUAUAAUAACAGAAAUGCACUAUUCCACAUCAGCGCUACACUCCAACAUUUGGUAUACCGUCUAUCCCAUCUCACACUUCAACGUUCAAUCAAUCAACCAUCCGAAUGACAACAACUUUCGAAUCAAGGAAAGGCUGCGACUCACAGGGCGGUAGGAUUUGAAGUUUGAGACGGAAUGGAGGGUAAAGUACUGUUAUUUUUCUCAGAUUCAACUAACAAAUUCAUAAUCCAGGAGAAAAAACAGCAGAUAAGUUGACAAAAUCAGUACAUAAAUUAGAACUAGACCCAUUUAGGGCAUCAUUCUCUCUAUACACAUGCCUCACUGAAGAUUAAAAGCAACACAAGGAUAAAAAUGACAACUUUCGCUAAUUUGUCUAAAUAUACAACAAAUUAAUAGUUAAAUUCGUUCCACAUUUCACCGAGUAAGUUUCUUUUCUCCUUAUAAUCUCGAUCAUGAGGAUAACACAUAACUUCUUGUCAUAAAACACAAAAGUGGGAAUGAGAUCAAACUCGUAAUGGAAAAUUUAGGGUUCCUAUCUCACCGUUCGAUCGAUGUGCCACGAAACUCCCACAUUGGGUGAAUCCCUCAAACCGUGCCGCACAGCGGAGCCACAGGGCACUAGGAGAUGCAGCAAGAUCAUGCACGCGUAGGCGGAGACCAAGAUCCCAUUUGUGCCCCGACCCAUCAUCAUCCUCGUCGUUUCUCGCAUCCACCUCCCGAUCCAGCUCCGCCCUUCUCAUCUCAUCGAUGGCCACCUCCAAUCGAGCUCAAAGGACAGAUCUUUGAGCUGCGGGGACGAAACCCCAGAGCGAUUUCCUGAGGAUCGCGAACUCGGGCAAUCCUUUGACCGCGAAAACGCGGGGUUUGCGAUCGAAAGAGGGGUAAAGGUGGGAGCUUUCGUAGGGUUUGGAGGGGGAAUUUCGCGGAGCUAAGGUGGGGGAGGAGACGAUCGAGACGCGAAGAGGGGGGAAUUUGGGGUAUCGCGGAGACGCGUCGACCUCGGCCUCGACCUCGACUUUUUUUCUUUUUUUUGAAUUCUUUUCCAAGUCAAAAGGCGAUGCGUCAAUUUUUUGAUCCAUCAUUGUUCAAAGCGAAAAAGAAAGAAUUAAAAAAUUGUACGGAGAUCCUUCCACUGUAGAAAGUUUUGACAUGGGCCCCUCACCUAUAUUUUUCUCAUUGACACUAUCUAAACUUACUAAAAAUAAUGAAAAUUAUGAAAAACGAGAAGUUGGAAGAAUUUUAAUAAAAAAAAAUAGUUGAGAGGGCUAUUUUGGAAUGAUCUAUACAACUAACAUUUAAGGAGGUCUCUAUUAUUGUCAACAUUUCCACCAAAAAGAAAAGGAAAGGGAAAUAGGAGCUCUUUUUAAUUUGGUAAAAUAAAGAGGCUUAAAGUGAAAAAAAGGGAACCGGAUCCUUUUGUUCGAUAGGAGAGACAAUACACUACACGACCGUUGCGGAUUAGUAAUUUUCUCCACUUAUUUUUUUCCAGAAUCUCUUUUAUUCUUUACUUAUUUAUUCCUGGGGUUGCUUCUCUCUGAAGCGCAGUUAAAAUUGAUUCAUUCGAUUUAUUUCAUUAUUGCAAUUUUUGAUUUGAGAGAUGUUAAACGGAGUUAGCAAAGCUGAGACAAAUAGCACGCACAUAACGAAGAGAAUAGAGCUAUGACCCGAUCUGCAAAAAAUACCUCUCGAUCUCGCAUCGUUUUAUUUUUACGUGACCGGAGUCAAGAUUAAAAAUUUAUGUAAUUUUCACGCGAAAGUUGUUAACAUCGACUCAGCUCGGGUUUUGCUCAGAUCUAGCUUAACGGCAGAUUUAGAGGCCUCUACAGUUAUCUUUCUCUGGGCUUGAUCUAGUUUGCAUGGCUGUACUGGGCCAUAACUGUUGUUUCUUCGGCAUUUUGGAUAUAGUUUUGGGAUUUAUAACUCUGAUUUGGCCCAAUAAAGUGAAAUGGGUCGUGUAAAUCGCAAUACAAUGUGUACUAUAAUGGCUAGUAUACAUUCAAACGUACGAACGGCGUAGAUUCGCUACAAUCCCAUGCAUAAAAAUUUCUAUGCAUCCACACUGUCUAAUGUCGAUGGUUUUGACUAAUCUCACCACUAAUGAGUAGCGAAAGAACUUUCGCACGGAGUUGUAACCAAUGCAUUUUCAUUCAUUUCUUAGAACAAAAGAUUGGCUACGAAUUCAAUGUAAGAGAGAUGAGAAAUCGCUCAGCUUCCUUUGUGAUCUUAUUGACCCUAUCCUCACACCUUUACCUUCGUAAACCCCAAAUGAGUCGAGCUCGAGUUAGCUUUUGUUUAACGAUCAGCCAAAAAAUGUAUUGAAGUACAGCUUAGUUCAUUUACAACGCUUAUGUAUUAAGCUCGGUGUUUACGAAUGUCAUCAUGGGUAAUUAAGCCAAGAUAAAUAAAAUUCUAUAUAAGUGCUAAGAUUAUUCCUAAACUAUUUCCUAUCAAAUACUUUUUUAGUAAUAUGAUACCAAAAUCUACUUGAAGUUCCCUUCUCUCUACUUCAUAAAAAUCAGUACUUAAUUCAAUUCAUCCACUAUUUGUGGCAUAUCUCUUUCUCUGUCACUCUACUAUCCUUUUUAUAUGUUUGUAUUUAUGGCGUGUUUGUUUUGCAAGAUCUCCGCCCCCAAAGCCUCUCAUAUAGUUGAACCGCGAGUGCGAAUGUUUUGAGGAGAUCAACGAACUCACAUAUCAGACGUGUACAACGUAAAAUUAAGCAAAACUUCACUCCUUACCGUGAUGAGGUCGAGAUCAAAUGCACGAUCGAAACUCGCAACCUCUGAUCUCUCCAGUCCCAGAAAAAACAACCAGUACACCCUUAAUUACUAGUCUCAAACAUGAACGCGCGUGGAGUGGUUUUCGAAUCCACAUCUGUUACAUGAUAUUGACAUGCGACGUAUCUCGCGACAAUUUUAUAUACUUGCAUGCAUUACUCCAUGCUUAUUAUUAUACAAAGAUGCACGAGUAUCGUGUCAUAUCACAUUACAUAUGCAUAAGAUAACAAAUUAUUAAUUAAUGUUUAUAUAAUUAUGGAGAGAAUAACACCAAACUAGUAAAACGCCAAAGAUGCGGUGGAAAUUUCUAUGCAUGUUUUGGACUAUGCAUUGUUUUUUGCUGUGGCUUUUGUACAGAUCGAACCUGUAAAAAAAAAAAGUAUAAAAAAUAAAAAAAUUUGUCACAUAUAAGUUACAGAAUCAAUUAGCUCUAUCAUCACCAUGUAGAAGCAUCCAAACACUCAUUAAUUUAAUUAUUAAUGAUUAACGCUUAAUAAUUCAAAGCAUCCAAAAACUCAUUGUUAUAAUGAUUUAAAUUAAGUUAUAUAUACAGCAGAAUAAUAUUAGUUUAAGACUUAAAUUAAUCAGAUGGAUUUAAUACUUUGACCAACCAGUUGGAAAGUGUUCAGAGCUAGCAAAGUACUGUUUAUUAGAAUAUUAAAAUCGAAAUUAAUUAAUAAUAGGAUCAUUAUUCGGCAGUAUCGAAUUAAGAUAAUUACUAGUUAAUUAAGUAGUGGCAUGCUUAAAAGAGUUAGCAUGUCCUUUGUGUUGGAAUAUUUACAUGUUCUCCGUGGGAUUUGUGUGUUAAUGCUCAUUAUUUUAACUCUUCGCCUUACUUAAUUUGCAAAAGUUCCUACAAAUCAUAUAAACUUCGAUUUAGAAUUUCUGCUUCGUGGAGGCUUAUUUUGUGCGUAAAAUUACGAAGCAAAUGUGUCGAUUGAGAGUAAUAUUGUUACACGCUCUUACAUUUUUUACACUAUUAUUUACAUGAUAUCAUGGGGCAUUUUACUCGGGUGAAAGUGACAAUUCAUGAGGAAGCUCAAUUCAUGCGUAAAAUGUUAAUUAUAUAGUAACCAAAGAGAACUGAUAAAAAGUGAAAUGUCGCGUCAGCAUAUGUAAAAACUUGUAAAAUUUGUAUGUGAUUUAAAUACAAAUGAAAUGGAGCUUGGCUCAUCUUAUAAUGUACCCUAGAGAGUCCCCCACAUUCUUUAAUUUAUCCUAAGUAACCCCAAUUAAUUAUUAUUAUUAUUAUUAUCAUUAUUAUUAUCCUACAUUAAUUGCAAGAAAACAACAUGGGAGAUAUAUAGAAGCUUGAUUUUUGUCUAGUAUAAGUAUGAGGACAAAAAAUGGCCGGCUUGGAAAUUAAUUAAUUAAUUAAGUAAUCAAUUAAUAACCAUAUAUUUUGAUUUGUUAUACAACUCAAAUCAUUUGUAUUAAUCAAAAAUUCUUUUUUCUUGUUUUUUUUUUGGGGGGGAAAGACCUUUAUUAUAAGAGGCAUAGUAGUUUCAUCCAAAUGAUCCAAACAGUUAUCUUUUUCUUUUGUAUAUCAUGCAAUUAAAUGCAAUUGGACCAAGCCAAAUUAAUUUCAAAGCAAAGCAAAAAAAAAAAAAAAAAUUUUGUANAGCCAAAAAAAAAAAAAAAAAAAAAAAAAAAAUCAUGCCACCUAUUUUUAUGCAAUCAACCUCAACCAGGGACAUAAAUAUCUUUGUUCAUUAAUUAUAUAUCAGGAUUUUAAAGAGAAUGAUAGAAAUGGACCUUUUGUGGGAUAUAUCUACAAUUAAUAGCAAAGAGCACAUCUUUUAAAAUAUCCUCUCAAUAAAGGAAAAAAAAAAGGGGGGGGAAAGAAAAAAAAAGUGUAAAUAUGCACCAACCACUAGCAGAUAAGUUCAAAGUGUUUCAAUCUCAAAAUUUGUUGUUGUGAGGAAAUGAAAACAACAAAAUAGUGUACUAUUGGCAUGUACUAGUUAUUCACCUAGUUGGCUUUAAUUCACCAAUGCUUGCAUAGAAUAGUAAGUUUUUUUUUUAAAAAAAAAAAUUUACCAAGAAUGUGUCUUCAAUAUCCCUUAAAUCUUUUAUAUUCCAAAUGUACACACACAAAAUGAUUUGCUCCUGAAGAGUUCAUGUCAUUCCAAACUUGUGCUCUUUUGUCCUUUUCCAACUAAAUAUUCCAAUAUUCCUAUCACUAUUUAACAAAAGGGAAAUAUGACCCACAUAUUAAUUAAUUAAUAGAAAUUUAUAAAAAUGCGUUAUAUAUAGAGAAAUGAGUUGGAAUGUUAUCGGUAGCAAACGAGUUCUAUUGCUACUCAUUUAUUUUCAAUGAUGGAGCCUCUAAAUCGACGAUCAACACCGUUGAACAUGAUCUAUACCACUUGAAGUAUUUGAAAACUAAAUUUUAAAUCUUUUCGACAUUAUUAACCUAAUGAUUAAAGGGUUUCAAAAUUUAUAAUUUUAAUGAUAAAUAUGAGGUGUUUUCUCGUUUAAGGAUGUAAAGCUAUCCAAAUCAAUUGAAGUUUGAUUAGAAAAUUCUUUAAACUAUUUAGAACAAGAUCUAUACUCUCAAUCUUGAUUACAAAAUUUCUAUCAUCACUUUUUAGAAGAUAUUUAUUUUCAGUCGUUCAUUUUUAUUUGCAUUUGAUGGGCAAGAGAACAAUAUUGAAAAAAUAUGAAAUUAAUUUGGUUUAUAGAUAUACUUCAAAUAGUAUAUAUCAUAUUCAACGAUGUCGAUUAUCGAUUUGAAAGCUUCAUCAUAAAAAAUAAAUGGAUGCAACGAAAUCCGUUUGCUACCGAUAGCAUUCCAGCUCAACUCUGUGUGUGUGUGUGUGUGUGUGUGUGUGUGUGUGAAUUGAACAUCCAAUAAGAACCCAAACAAAAACCCCUGUAUAGAUCUAUCCAUAAUGCUCUUCCCCUACUAUAUAAAGCCAAGGAAGGGCUCCAUAUAUUUAUGUCCCUAGCUAGCUUUGUGAAUUCCAACACACCCCAAUUAACACACGCACCCCCUCCCAUAUCUACAGGGCCACCCACAUCCCCUCCUCCUAGGAUAAAACCCUAGCACCCCAAUCUCAUCCUCCCAAUGCCCAACUGCCACGUGUCAACCUCACUCACCACACAAAGCUUUCACCUCCAUGCACGUGAGGACAUGGAGAAGAGAUAAACCCUAGCUAUACGUUUUCUCCAAGUACCUAGCUCCCUCCCUUAAUUCCUCUCCUCGGCCUCCACCGUAGUUGUAAGAGUCAUGGGGGCUGAGAAUAGGGCUAAGUACUCUACCACCCACAUGGCCCCUCGAAACAACCCUAGCCUCCUCCGUCCUCAUCCGAGCUCGCUCUCCGGCGCCCUUAACGGCUGUCUCGGUUGCCUCGACGGCCCGUGCAUAGAGAAGCUCCUGCUCCACUGCGCCGCCGCCCUCGAGGCCAACGACAUAACCGUCGCCCAACAAGUCAUGUGGGUGCUCAACAACGUCGCCUCCGCAAACGGCGACCCCAACCAACGGCUCACCGUUUGGUUUCUUCGUGCUCUCAUUGCCAGGGCCUCUCACCUCUGCCCGACGGCCCUGCCCUUUGCCCUAGACGGCUCGUCGCAGUCGUCUCGAAGGCCAAUGACCGUGACCGAGCUUGCGGGCUACAUCGACCUCACACCGUGGCAUCGAUUCGGUUUCUCAGUCGCCAACCGCGCCAUCCUCCAGGCGGUCCAGGGCCACCGGAAGGUCCACAUCGUCGACUUCAGCGUUACGCACUGCAUGCAGUGGCCGACGCUGAUCGACGAGCUCGCCAAGCGGCCCCAGGGCCCGCCAGUGUCGCUACGAAUCACUGUGCCCUCGGCGCACCCUCCGGUGCCCCCUUCGCUCAAUAUAGCUACCGAGGAGGUAGGACUAAGGCUGAUGAACUUCGCCAAGUUGAGAAACAUCCCCUUAGAGUUCAAGGUACUCAAGACCAACUCCCCGGGUAACUCUUUGAGCUUUCGCCAACAAUUGGUUACCACUCCAUUGGAUCCAUCUUCAUUAGGAUUGCAAGAUGAUGAGGCCCUAAUCGUCAAUUGCCACAACUGGCUAAGAUACUUGUCGGGGGAUUCACAAGGGAAUGAUGAUAAUACAAGAGACUCCUCUUCCAAAGAUGGCUUCUUAGAGUUCAUUCAUGGCCUCAACCCGACCGUCGUGACCAUGACCGACGAGGACGCCGACUUGGACACUCCGAGCCUCUCCUCGAGGAUAAUGGGUUGCUUCAACUACCUUUGGAUACUCUUCGACGCCCUCGAAACCUCCUUCCCGAAGGAAUGCCCGGAAAGAACGGGGUACGAAGCCAACGUCGGCCAAAAGAUCGAGAACAUCAUCCGGUUCGAGGGGAGCCAAAGGAUCGAGAGGUCGGAAUCCGGCGCGCGCUUCGCGCAGCGGAUGAGGCGCGCGGGGUUCGGCGGGGUUUUGUUCGACGAGGAGACGGCGAGGGGGGUGAGGGUGCUGUUGAGCGAGCACGCGAGCGGGUGGGGGAUGAAGAGGGAGGAGGACAUGCUGGUUCUCACGUGGAAGGGGCAUAGCUCGGUUUUUACCAGUGCAUGGGUCCCCAAAGUGAUCUCAUGAAUCUAAGGACUUGUCCUUUGGAGCUAGGAGCCAUGCAUGGGCCAUGGCUUUUGUGGUUUCUCGAUCUUUCCUUACGAAGAGGGGGAGAGAGGGACAAGUCGAGAGAAAACGGCUGGUUUUGUCUUUUGCUUAUCAAAAGGCCAAGUUUUGAGUGGGGAGAGCAAUCUUUAUGGCUUGGGAAUGCACACAAGAUCAGUGGCAGAGCCAGAACUGUGUAAAUUGUCUUUACAUAUAUAUGUGCAUCAGUAAUUACUUGGAAGUGUAGCUUUAACAUGCUCUUCUUAUCUUUUGUUUCAGAUGAGUUGAACUCGCGCGAAGCGCGCGCUGAUAAACUAGAACUUUAAUUUUCUUCUAAGUUGUACUUAGAAAAUUGUCUCCUCAUUCACACCACUGUUUAUUGUACCUUUUAACUUUAUUAGCAAUGAGAAAAGUAAUUAAGGUUAUAUUUCUAAAUUUAGUUUAUUAAAGUGUCCUUCAGGUAUGACUCAACAAUGUUUCCUGUUGAACUUUUUUAGGCAAUUCACUAACACCACAACAAACUGCUAGAGUAUUGAUUAUAUACACAAUUACCUUUAAACCCAGGAUACAUAAUAUUAGAUGCUGGUUCAAAUCACGAUUAAAGCAUAAAUAACAUUGUUAAAAAAGGAACAAAAGAAAAAAUUUCUUCAUGUUUUGACAUAAGAAUAAUAGCUCAUAGAUAUUUUCUUUUUUGAGAAGAUUCAAGACAUAGAUUAGCUGAUUUAUAUGAAUAUGAUUUAUAUGAAUAUGUUUAAGUUCGCUCUGCUAUUUUGAGGUACACAUAUGCAUCCUCCAUUUGAGUAAGAAGAGAACACAAAUUUGGUAUUAUAUUUUGAUUGAAUUAAUUUAUCCAGUAAUGUGUAUAAGAAGCUACAAAAGCAAAUACAUCAGUGAUAGGAUAGAUGACUCUGCACUGACUAAUUAAACCACUGUGACCUGUAAUUCAAAUCGGAUUUGAACUCAAUCUCUACCUUCUCAGUGCUUCUUCAAUGCUUCCAGAUUUUGGCUAAUUAAAAAGUAUUCAAUAAUCGAAACAACACCAACAUUUGUUUUCACGAGCAGAUCCGAUUGAAGACGACAAUUUCAAUGCGUCGAUAAGAGCCGCCAUCGAACAAUGCUACAAUUUCAAUGUGUGGUUAAGAACCGCCAUCGAACAAUGCUGAUCUGUGUCAAAUUAAAACAUCUUAAUGUUUAGAAACACAGGUAUAACUAGGUAAUACAUAUGCUCAAGAAACUAUGUAACCUUGUCGAUGCCAAGUUACAAUGAUUCAGUGGAUUAUUAGAUUGGAGUGAUGAAAACAAACCAAUUGAAUGAAGGAUAGAUUCCAUUGCAAGGUUGAACCAACCACAACAAAUUUCUUACUCCUCACUAAACAUCAAAGUUUCAUUCCAAUCCAACCAUAAAAGUUGGAUACUUCUUUAUGUGAAUUAACUCAAUUAUCCAAGUCAAGUAUGCCUAUCUUAAAUUCUCCCUGAUGUUCUCAACGAAACAGGACAAAUAACACUUAUUUUUUUAACUUAAAACUAGAGGCACACUACAAAUGGUCCAAUUUUAUGAAACUGCAAGUAUAAGAGUAAAAAUUUUGUAUAAAUUCAUAUUCAUAAGCAGUUACGAUAAUUUGUUUUUCUAACUCCUAACUCUACAAUCCAUCGCAUAAAGUGUUUCAAGUUUUUAAGAUUUGAAUAUCCUACUUUGUUAGGUAACAAACCAACACUACUGAUUUCAUAAACAUAGCAAUAGUGCUGUAAAAUGGAUUCACCUGUGAAACCAAAAUUGAAGUGUAAAAAUUUAACAAUUAGAGUUUACCUACGAAACCGAUUGCUUAUUCGGCAUCUUUAAGCUCUUCUUCGAGUACUUAUUCGUCCGUGCGCGCUCAACGAGCUUCUCAGCCUCCUCUGCUCUCGACGCCGCAACCAACCCAUCCACCACUUUCUGCAGCACCGCCGCGUCCGCAAAGCACUUCCGACUCAUGCUAUCGUAGCAACACCUAAGGGCCAAAUCGAAGUCCCCCGCCUCGCAGAGAUGCGGAAUCAGCGCCUCAAAGGUCCCCUUGUUGGGGGCGCAACCGUUCUUCACCAAAUCCAAGUACACUGUUUUGGCCGCCUCCAAAUUCCCAAUUUUGCAAUGCCCUCUUAUUACAGCAUUGAAUGACGAAGUGUCGGGCUUCGGCCCGUCCCUCAUCAUUUGAUCGACGAGCUCCGCCGCCUCCUCGGUUCUCUUUUCCAGAACCAGCCCUCUCAGCUUCGCGUUGAAGCUCUUCACGUCGGGCUCGACGUUCCUCUCCCGCAUCAAGUUCCAAACUUUCUCGGCGUCCGGGAACCUGCCGUGGCCGAAGAAGCCGUUCAGCAGGGUAUUGAAGGAGAUCAGGUCCGGGGAUAUGCCGUGCUGCUCCAUGAGGCUCAGCACGUCGAAUGCGGCGUCGAGGUCGGGUUUUGCGCAGAGGGCGCGGAUGAGGAUGUUGUAGGAACAGAGGUUGGGGACGAUCGAGGGGUCCUCGGCGGGGAUUUGGUCGAAGGCGGCGAGGAGGGCGUCGGGGUUGGAGGAGGAGGAAUCGGCGAGGGCGGUGAGGAGGGCGUUGAAGGAGAGGGCGGAGCGGGGGGCGGAGAGGGAGGGGAGGCGGCGGAAGAGGGCGGCGGCGUGGGAGGGCAUGGAGGCGGCGCCGUAGAGGGAGAUGAGGCGGGCGGAGAAGCCCUCGUGAGAGAGGUCGGAGGGGAAGCGGAGGUGGGAGUCGAGGACGGCGGCGACGGCGUCUGGGCGGCCGGCGGCGGCGAGGCGGCGGACGGCGGAGGAGUAGAUGCGGUGGCGGCAGCGGAAGCGCGGGGAGGCUGCGGCGGCGGCGAUGAAGCNCGGGGGCGGCGCUGCUAGGGUUAGGGUUAGGGUUAGGGUUUGAAGGGGAAGGAGAGGAGGAGAGGAGGCGAGAGAGGCGGGGGCGGACGAGGAGGCGGAGGCGGGAGGAGGAGGAUGAGGAGAAGGACAUGGUUUUCGCGUCUCUUCUCGAAAAAGAAGGGUUUUGGGAAUUUAAUAAGGCUUUAGAGGGUUUAGGAAAAUGGGUCGGGCCAAAUUUUAGGAAAAUGGGGCCCAGUUGGAGUUUUUGCUGUUUCAUUAGAAUUUUUCUAAAAAAAAAGGGUUCCUUAGUCGUGCAACUUGGCCUAUGGGUGUAGGGUGCAUAACAAACUAAGACUUAGUUUGGUAUUAAAAUCUAUCUGAGGUUAUUAAAUAAAAUAGAGUUGGAAUAAAAUUAUAUAGGGAUAUGUUUCUGCGUUCUACAGUGAGACCGUAGAAAAUAUAUCGUAUCUUAACCGACCCAUCACGAUAUGCGGAACGUAAUAUUACGUAAGGAAACAAACAGACUAUUUUCUCAUCACACAAUUUCCUCGCAAUUCCAAAUGAAGUUUAAAUUUUUAGUCAUUUAAAAAUAAUACGAAUGAAGUUUUCAGUCAUUUAAAUUUUAAUAUUUUAAUUUGAUUUGCGUCUUGAAGUACAAAUUAUUUGUCAAUGUUUGGGGUGCUUUUUUAAACCCCCAACAUAAAGAGCUGGAACUUCCAACAGUAUUGCCUUCCUAAUUUUUAUUAAUCUCAAAUUAGCCUCUGAUCAUUCAUGGCAAUGCCAUGCUUUAAGAAUGGAGUCUUUUCUUGACACAGUUAAUGAAUGAUUUUUUUUUUAGUUUUUUUAAUUUAAUUGUUUCAGCAAAGAAGAUCUUGAAUGAGUAUUGAUUUUAAUGUUUUGAGGGGAGUAAAAAUAAAUUAGAAUUGAUGGAAUUAUGCAACUGAAGAACAAAACAAAAAAAUAAAAAAUAAAAAAUCAAGCAAUGAAAAACCCAUGAACUAUAUUUAACACAUUAUAAAAAGAAAGAAAAGAAUAGCUCUGAGAAACAUAAAAUAUCAUGUGCAAAUUUUUGACCACAACCACUUAUAUGAUUCUAGGUAUAAUAAUCAUUUACGAUUUUACAGACCCAAUCCAUCAUCCAAAAAAUUGGCCAAUUUUUCUUAAAAAAAAUUGCUAAUAAAUCACUGUUGUGGAGUCACUUAAUCACCCAUUUCCCUCUCAAUAUAAGUGAAGGACCCCAAAAAAAAAAAAAAAAACUUUUUUAGGUUGAGAAAAAGAAAACAGGGGGAAAGUGACAAAGUGAUAGUUAAUUAAGCAAUCAAUAUAUAAAUAAGAGUAUAAUUAAUUGGCUAUUUUAGGUGGUGUGGCACACUAUAAAGCAUUUCUUAAACAAGAAAAUUGAGUACAGUGUGACCAAUCACCCAACAAUAUUAACUGCUCCCGCCAAAACCCAUCUUGCUAAAGGGAUUGAACACUUGUUACCUGGAUUGGGUUCACCACUUCAUCCAUGGACCAAGUGACAAAGAGCAAAGGAUCAUCAGUCAAAUCAGAAACUCGGACUUCAAGCUUUUAUUUUUUUAGCAUUUAAGGUCCACUCCACGGGUUCAUUUGGUAUUAAAAAUCGGCUAAGACUUCUGAUGAAAAAAAUAACUAAGAGCGAAUUCUUCAACCAGACCACAAAAUAUAUUUUAAUCAAGUUAUUGUCAUAUACACAAUGUGUCUUUUUUUUGCCGCACAUAAUCUAACUGUAAUCCUAAAUAAAUGUCGUCACAAAAAUUUACAAAUUUUCUAACUAUCAAAUAUUUUGUAAUAAGUAAUUAUAACCAAAAGCAUAAUAAAAAAUAGAAUCAGACUCUUAUAUUUUCUCAAACACUCUAUAAAAUUGGCUAUGUAGCUAAAAGCAUAAGUAGAAGCAAAAAAACAGCUAAUAGAGACGCGAAACGGUUUCCUGGUAUAUAAUUUGACCGGUCUAGUAGACCCGGUCCAGCUAAUAGUCUGUAUCGACCCAAACAGAAUCGUACGGCCUCUCACAGUCCUUUCGCCGCCACCAUGAGAUUGAUUCCUCGUCCCCCAUGUCCUGUAAAAAACGUUGGAGUUAGAGAGAGAGAGUAGAGAGUAGUGAAUCGAGAGUUACUUGUUGGGGAAAGCAGAAGUUUCUACAGCGAACAACAACCAAUGCCGCGGCGGCCGCGGGGCGCUGCUGCAUCGCAGGCCGCCGAGGCGGAGGCGGAGGCGGAGGCGGAGUUAGAGGCGGAGCUGCAGGGCGACUUCGUCGACUCCGUGCUCGACAUGGAGGGUGGCAUCGGCGGGGAGACGCCGAUGGAGAAGUGGGAGAUGAGGUUCAAGUCGAAGAAUCUGGAGGCCGAGAGGAGGAGGAGGGGGAAGCUCAACACCAACAUCUUGGCCCUCCGUGCUAUCGUGCCCAAAAUCACCAAGGUUCAAUUUUUUUUUUCUCUUUAUUUCCCCUUUUUUCCAAUUUUUUUUUUUAGUUAUCUUUUUUUUUAAUUAUUAUUAAUGUAGUAAGGACCACCCCGCUUAAUUAUUAUUAGGCUAUUAAUUUUGGAAAUUAUUUGUGUAACUUUGUUGUUUUUUUCUUUAAUAAAAAAAUAUUUAAUCGGAGUUGUUAUAGAUAGUUUAAUUAAGGACUAUAUCAGACUUAUUAAUGGUUUUUUUAUCUGUUAGUUGUGGAUUAUUGGUGGAACUUGUAGUCUUAUUGUUUGCUAAAAAAUGAUUAAAAAUGUUAAAUUUAACAGCAUUUUUAUUAAAUUUAUUAAAAUUUUUAUGUAACUGAUUUGAAAUUGCUAAAAUAAAAAAAAAAGUUGGGAUGGGAUGGUCUCUAUAUAUUUUACAAUUUUACAAUAAACAAUCUGGUAAAAGGAAAAAAAAAAAAAAAAAAAAAAAAAAAAACAACAUGACAAUCAACAGUUCCUAAUGUAAGUGACAAAAAAUUUAAUGAUUGGAACAAAAAGUUUUAAGUUCAAAGUUUAANAAAACUCUUCUUUGCUGUUGUUAAGGAAUUGUUUUUGGUGAUUUUAGAUGAGCAAGGAAUCGACCCUCACCGACGCGAUCGAUUACAUUACGCUGCUGCAGAAGCAAGUGCUUGAUCUACAAACAGAGCUCUUAGAAACAGAUGGAGAUCUUAUUCAUAAAAAUGAAGCAAAUGAAGAUGAGGAGGGAGAGAAGCAGAGGAGUCCAAGUUCUGAAACAGUUGCUCCCUCUGUGACAGUGCAAUGUCAGGUAAUUUAGUUUUUUUAUUUUUCAAGAAAAUUAAAAUGAUAGAUAAAUUAAAUAUUUUGAGUUUCCAAAGUAGAAGUUUAAAAGUAAAUUAUUAUGAAAAGCAAUUGAUAUAUUGGUUUUUUCUUUAAGAAGAGAUUUUAAUAGAAACAUCCAAUAAAAGGAGAAAAGAAUAGGAGGUGAUAGAGAUUAAGCUAAAAAAAUUUGUUAAACUUAAAAUACUAAAAAAAAACACUUGGCGAGGAUGGUCUCUAAUGUGAGACCGUCACAUUUGUCAUUCAUGUGGCUUUGAAAUUCGUGUCAUUCACGUGAUUAAUAGCAGAUAGGAUAGUCUUGAAAUUGAGGACUGUUCCCAUCAAAUUUGUGUUGUUCUGUGUUUUGCUGUACAUUUAGUAUAAUAGUGAAAGUAUACAAUGAAAUGCAUGGGGAGGUGGUUUGGAUGUGGAGGAUAAACAUUUCAAUGCUCAAAAAGAGGAAGAAGAAAAAAAAAGACAAAAUAAUUUUUUUGGUGUUGUAGCAUUUUGUCUCCUAACCACUUUAGAAAUGCUUGAUACUCUUUGCCAACAGGGGCAGGUUGAGCUAAUACCUAUGGGCCCAAACAAGUACCAGCUGAAGAUAAUGUGCAAGAACAGGAUGGGGCAGUUCACCAAAGUUCUAGAAGCUCUGAGCUGCUUCAAUGCAGAGGUUGCUGAAAUAAGCUCUGUGGCCUUCUUCGGCUUCUCGAAGAGCGUGUUCUCCGUUGAGGUGAGUCCACACAAACUAAAAUAUCCUUCUACUAGUGAAGUAAGUGAUUAAUUGUUUAUGUUUUUCUUUUUUUUUUCUCUUUGUAUAGGUGAAGGAAGGAGAAGAGGGUGAAAUCAUAGAAUUAAGAAAUCUUUUGUUAGCACUUGUUGGAGCCUCGGAAAAUUGAGCUGCUUCAGAAUUGAUCUUUAUGACUUUGAUUUGAAGCCACUAAAUGUUACAUGCUUUUGUAGUUUAUAACAAAUGUCAGCAAUAUAAACAUAUAGAACAACUUGUGGUUCCUAGCAAUUGAAUCUUAUGCAGAAUUACAAAAUAAUAUAUGAUUAGUUGAAAAGCUUAUUGAGUAUGGAUAUUAAGCUAAAUUUUUUGUUCUACUUGUGGGCUAGUAUUAAAAAUUUUUAAUACUAGCCUUUUCUAUCUUUUCUAGUAACUUAAAUCAUUUACAGUGGCAUUUUUGUUUAGCUCUUUCACACAUUGGUUUCUGAUUGUGAUACUUUCAACAAAAAACCUAAGUAAUAAAAUGGAGGUUAAUUAGAUUUUUACCAUAUUUAAUGUAGUAAAAUAAUGCAGCUUUUACUAUUUGUAACUUUUAUUAUUUAUCUACAUGGUCUUGGUAAAUGGUAAAUGGUAAUUUUUUGGGUUUCUUCCAAGGAAGCCUUAUAGGCCAUGUGCUUAUAGGCCUCGGCAAAUUAGCUCUACUGGGUGAAUUCAUGAAAUAAACUGCUAAGGAAUGCGAGGAAAUAUAAGACGAAAAGCAUGAACAACUACUACAAGCAUAUAAAUUCUUCGAAAAUGAGAAGAAACUUGGCGGACGACGCUAACUUGCUAAGAUUAUUUACUUUUUUUUAUAAAAGAGAAUUGUAUUAUUAUCCAAUUGAUGCUGAACCAAUCUUUUCCCAACAUAUAGGCUAAUCACUCCACUAAAAUGCCAAGUGUUGUGCCUUGGGCAUUGUACUUUUCCUUUGUUUAGAAGGAUCAAUAAAAAAAGAAGAAUCUUUCAGGCUGAAUCAAAUGUACAUUGUCAUGGCCUUGUCUCCAACUUGGUAUAGUUUUGGUUCAUUUUAGUAUAAAAGCAAAUCAGUAACUUUGUAUGAUAAUUCAAUUGCCGACAUACGGAUAUCUAACAAGUGACAGCAGACAUCAGUAAGCAGCAAGAAGAAUCUAUGGGCUACAAGAUCGAGACUUUAUCGCUCGUGUGCAGAGAUCGUAAUUAACAAAACAGCAAAUGCAGAGAGAUUCCGAGUCACUCCGAGGUUCAGUGAGGUGGCAUUGAUCUGUCUAUCAGAUUUUUGAAUGACCAUGUCACCGAUUCUAAGUACAUUUGAAGCAAUUUUCCAAUUUAAUUAUGUGAAAGACAACUCAUUCUCAUAGUAUCUGCUAUUCUGCAGGUCAAAAGGACCAAAACUUAGUCAUGCAAUUCAGAUUAGAUACUCACAUAUCAGGAAGCUUCCAUUUCAUAAAUUUAUAAAUAAUGCCAACCAAAGGUAGAUUGCUUUCGAUCUGCGGUACAAAUUUUGGCUUUAUCAUAAGUCGAAACAGUAUUAUAUACGGUAAUGAAUCGUCAAAGGCCUUUUUGUUUCUCGUCUCAGGGACAUCAAUUAGACGCUCACUUGAGAGUUGGUAACACAUAAUGUGCACAUUAAGAUCUUAUUUUAUCUUGGGAUAAUAUAAGGACAAUGUAAAAUGAUCUGAAACACCCUAAUUGAACUCCGGCAUAUUUGUCUAAAAGUUAUGAAAUGGCCAUUAAACACAAAUUGAAACCAAAUUAGCUUUUGGUACUAAUUGUAAAAUUUGCCUUGGCAAACUUACUAAAAAGAUCUAAUCAUUCAAUUUUUGUUGAUCCUACAUUAGAAAAGUAUGCCUUUAUGCUCCGAUAUAGCAAAAUACCGUCGAAUUAAGAAAAGGAAAGUUAACUAGAGAAGAAGCAAUUAGUCCAUCAAAAUAUAUAGACAAUAAGGCCGCACGGGGGUAGCUGUCACAAAUGAAGAAGCAGAGAGAGGACAUCCUCGCGCACGAAGAAGCUCCUGUCUCAUAAAAUUUGUUAUAGUGCCAACUAAGCGAAAAAUAUUUAUAUGCCAACAAAGUGAUGAGCGAAGAUGUCGAGUUUGGUGAUCAUCUAUUGAACUCAAUUAAGUCCAAUGUUUUACUCAAAAUAAAAAAGUCCAAAGUUUCUGAUCUGAAGAGCGUUAAGGGAAUACUCCUAUCACCUCUUAGACCCGUUACAAUUUUACACGAGUAUAUUGUUUCUACCGAAACAACACUUUUGUAAAAAUUCCGAAUAGUUAGAAUAGUAAUAAUGAACAUUAUUGCGAGUGAACCGAUUUUAAGGGCUUCGUCUUUAGACUAAGUUUCUUCUGAGAAUUCGCAAUCAACUGUUAAAAUAGUUUGAGCAGAGCAUCAUUUAAAUUUGAUUAAUUUGCUGUAAAAUGUGAUCCUGCUGUACCCCUCAAUGUACACUGCAAUGCACCAUUUUCCAAGAGGCUUCUAUAAAUCAAUUUCAGAUUCUAGUGUAGGACACAAGUCCUGCUACUCACCCCAAUGAGAAAACCCAGUUGUUAAUUAAUCCUUGUCAUUAUGUAAAGAAACAGGUGUCACUCCUUAAUAAAACCAUCCACCCCAGUAAUCACCUCCCUUAAUCAAUAAAAAAAACUUUGUUUUGUGUAACAUAAAUUAAUAAUAAAUCAGUGUGACUUUCCCACUACCUGAAAUUAAGAUCCAACAUUGAAAGCCCCCCCCACCCAACACUCCUUGUAUCUAACUUAGUAAACUAAUCCAAUCCUUUCACACCAAACUUAACAAACAAAGUCAUUAACAAACCUCUAUGUAUAAGCCCUUAUAUAAGGCCACAAAUCUCCACUCUUUUGUACUACAAAUUCUCUCUUCAUCUUUCUUUGUGUUCCAAGUUUGAGACACUGCAGUAAACCAUCGAUGGCUCGCGUGAUUCUGUUCUGUGUAUUAGCUGCUGAUAUUGUUACGACUCUCGCAACGGCUCGAUCAUUUCCGACUGUCGAUAGGACCACUGCAAUUCAGAUUGAUAGGCCAAUGGUUGCUGAUCCCCCUUCUUCUUCCUCUUCUUCUUAUGCUGUAACUUCUAGUGCUUCUUUCGAGUCGAGACCUGCGGAGGGGCCUGCAAGCUUUCAUCCACAUGUGAAGCACCGGCCGUUCGACCGAUCUCUCGCCGGAGGGAAGAUCAUACUUGGAGGGCUUGCGGCCGCCAUUUUUGCCGCUGUUUUCUGCUACAUUCGCAUCACUAGGCGGAAAAGCGGAGAGCCAAAGUCUUGAAACUGUUCAAUUUUUUUUUCUAUCUCUUUUGCUUCUUCUUUGGCCACCCUUGUAAGAUUACAUAUAUUGUUACAGACAAAUUGUAUCCUUUUGAUAUUGUGUCAUACAGAAAGAAUUAAAUGACAUGAUUGCAAAUGUUACAGAAGUUUCAAACUAUUGAUCAGGGCAUUGAUCAGAGGAUUAUGCAAUUAAAAUUAAGAGUUCAAAUCAAAAAAGGAAAGAAAUAAAUAUGGUUAUUCGAGAUAAUCUGAGGAAAAAUGCAAUCUUGAAUAAUGUUAGUAAUCAAUGCAUUUCUUUAAAAGUAAAGUAUAACCAAUAAAUUUUAUGGGCCUUUUGAUAAUUUAGUCAUAUUAUCACUUCACAAACAAAAGGAUAAUUUAGUCUCUAUUAGUAAUCUCACUCCAUACAUGAGGAACUAUUUUUUUUUUAACUUUGCUUUUGAAAAGCUAAUGAGAUACUAAUUAAGCUAUAUUCUAAAGAUAUCUUUCUCCCAAAUUUCUCUUUUUGGAAAGAAAUGAUUGAACUCCUUUUUGUGGUGAAGAUUUAGUUGUACUAUUCAUGCACAAAAAAGUUACUUGAGCACUAAUCUGAGCACUAAUCUCGCGCAAGUCGAAAUCUUUAUACGAAACCAAAUUACUCCAUUAGUUACAAUUUCAAGCGUGCAAAAUUCUCGACUUCAUGUCGGAUCAAAAGAAGAAGCAGCAGCAGAAGAAGGAAAAAAACAAAUUGCACUUCAUAUUAGACUAGUUUUCUGCAAUUUUCAAAGUGAUCAGGAGAUAUGGCUAGUAUUACAGCUGGCAGGAACUUCGAACUUCCUACAUCUUCAACAUCAAGUUUGAUAAAUUAAAUACGAUAAUUAUGAUGCUGGUUUAUGUUAAUGCUUUAAUUGCUCACUAUCUAUGUACAGAGAUGUAAUGCUACAGUACAGAAACAUAUAAACAAUCAAUCCAUCAGUAACUUCUUUUUUUUUCCCUUUUUUUUCGGAAGAAUCCAUCAUUAACUUUUAACUUACUACCGACUGUUCUUAGAGCAAGUGGCAAAGAACUUAAUGGUUGGUACCCGAGACCCAAGUUCGAAUCCUAGUUGAUUCACAUUUUCAGCUAAGUUUAUUUCUAAGUGAAACAAACGAAGCGGGUAGCGUGCUACCUGUCUCUCAAAAAAAACUUUUAACUUACUACAGAGACAGAGAUGGUACUCAAAGUAUGAUUAUAGCAGUUCGGGAGGCAAAACAUUUCUAUAUAAUAACCUUUUCAUACAAUAUUGGUGGUUGGUACUCUUGAUUGUCUCUAAUGAGUCAAAACACACACACACACACACACACACCAUGUUCUUGUGGGACUUAAUUAUGAAUCGAAGGCGAUUAGCGAGUAUAACAAUAUGGAAACAUCGAAACAUAGAGAACCUUACAGAGUACACAUUGCAGGGGGAAACAACUUGUGCCAUAACUAAACUAUAUUUUUUUAUCUUUGAACGUGCGCGUACUUUUAAUACUAAUGAUGCAGGUGUUCUAUGGAUAAGUAGCAUUAUGUCUCCUGAUCUCUAACAUUUCCUGAAAAUAUGCAAAUGAAAAUGGUACAUAUAUAUUAUUUUUCAUUCACUUCCAAUAAUACACUGAUACAACUUAAGUUUUAACUAUAAUUAAAGUAUGGACACAUUUAAUUAACCAAGGUAAAGCUUACAAUUUUACACAUUAGAGAGGCUAAAUUACAGAAAAUCCCCUUGUAAUAACCCGCUUUUUUACUUUCGCCCCCUGACAUUUAAAAACCUACACUUUGCCCUCUUGUAAAAUGAAAAAUCUGCAUUUCAUCCCCUACCGUUAAGGUUCUGUUAUAAAAUAUUUUUUUAUGCCGAAAAUACCCCUCCGCCCUCUUUCUUAUUGCUUCGCCUCCCUCCGGCUCGCCGCCUCGCCGUCCUCCACUGCCUCGCCUUCACCUACAUCCCUUUCGCCCUCCUCCGCCGCAUCGCCUUCGUCCUUGUUGCCCUUGCCUACCUCUCCAUCAACACCCACCUCGAUUUUCUCCCUACUAUCGUCGAAAUCGAGAGACGGCGAGGAUGCAGGAGGAGAAGAGGAGUAGGUGGAGAAGAAAAUGGAUAGAUAUUGCGGCCAAUUGAGGUGGGAAUCGUGGUCGAUCGAAGGGACGGCUGAGGAAGAUGAGGAAGAAGACGAAAAUGGCGAGGGGCGAAAUGGUCAUUUUACAUAACGUAAUCCCCCUAUAAAUAUUUUUUAUUUUAAAAAAGAUAAAGUGUAGAUUUUAAAUGUCAGAAGAAAAAAGUAAAAAAACGGAUUAUUACAGAGAUUUUUUUGUAAUUUAGCCUAUUAUAUAUUAAGCUACAUUUAUGCCUUUCCUAUUUAAGGUAAGGAAGAUCCAAUUGAAACCCAGCUCUAAAACAAGCUAAAUGGAUAUGGAUUUGGUUUUAUUGCUUGUUAUUCGAUGAACUCGAAAACAUUCCCUAACACAUAAAAAAAUAAAGUAAAAGAAAAUUAAAAGGACCUAAUAAAACACCAAUGAGUGAGUAGUAUUUACUGAGCUAUCAUUGGAAUGGACCACGCAGAAAUUCUCUUUCCCAUCUGAAGUAAGAUCUAGCUGUCCAUUCUUUAAUUUAUAGUGCUACAGGUGUCAUUUCUAUAACUGCAGUCCUAUCACAAAUGAGAAUACUAUUCAAGCAACCUAUUUUAGUCAUAUCAUCUUAAAUUAAAAUUUUCUUAUAAUCUUUGCUGUUUCACAAAUAAAACUAGAAAUGCAAACGACAAACGAGACGGAUUCGGAGGCGGAGAAGGACUGACUUUUAUCUUUUUUUUUUUUUUUUGUCUACAGUACUUAUCGAUUUAUUCUGAAUAGAUCAGAAUAAAAGAGAAUUAGGACGGAUUAAAGGAAAAAAACAAGGGUCCCCUAUUUUUUGCUGCUUUUUUUUUUUUUUUAGGUAGAAGCGGAUUCAGGACGAGUGAUGUUAUUUUUUAUUUUCGCUCUCUAGCUAGUUAUUCGGAAUGCAUCGGGACAGAAGCUAGCUCCACCAAACUUAGAGAUUUAUUAACUUAAUAUAUUGUCAUAAAAAAUUCUAUAAAUUGUUUGUUUGGCAAACAAAAAAUAUUUAAAAAAUUAUAUAUAGUAUAUUUUUAAAAAAUAGGAGGUGCAUGCAACACCAGCUGCCAAUGGGCCUGUAAUGAAAGGAAUCUUCACUGAAAUCUACCACCACCUAACUACAUAAAAAGUGCCCCACUGUCUUUUACCAAAAAUAAAAACAAAACCAAAAAUAAAAUAAAAUAAAAUAAAAUAAAAUAAAAAAGCAGUAAUUCAUAUCAUGCAACACAACUCCCCCUCAACUCCACCCUUGUAUAAAGGGCUUACUGCAACAACAAGAGAGCUCCAAAAAUCUCUAACCCCAACAAUCACCAUCAAUGGCUCCUCCCCUCCCUCCUCAUUUCUUCUCUCUUUUACUUCUUGCUAAUCUCCUCGUCAUCGUCGCUGUAGCUCGGCCUCUUUCGACGGUCGAAAGAGCCAAUGCAGGUGAGCCCACUAUGGCUUAUGCACCAUCUUCAAGCUUGAAUCCAAUUGAACUACAUAUGACAACUUUUGCGGGCGCACCGGAGAUCAGCCUGCCUCAUCAUCGACAGCAUCGAGCCUUCGACAAAUCGUUCGCGGGAGGGGAAGUGAUCCUCGGUGGGCUCGCCACUGCGAUCCUCGCCGCCGUCUUCUGCUACAUUAGAGUCACUAGGGAAAGAGUGGAAGAUGAGAAAUCUUGAAGUGGUUGUAUUAACAUGUUUUGCUUAAACAAGUUUUACAAAUGCUACUUUAAGUGAAAAUCAAUGUAUAAAGAGGCCAUCUUGGAUAUUGAAAUGGAUAGGAUAUGUUGUGUAAAAUAUUCUUCUAUGUUUUUCCCCAUUUUCCUUAGUUUUGUUUAAAUUUAAAUAGGUUCUGCCACUCUUGCAAAAAAUGGCUACAGCUAUUGUUUAUUGCUUACUUAAUUCAUCAUUGUUUUUUUUUUUUUUUUCCUUUCGUACAUAUGUCAUUACUUUUCUUCUUUUGGUUUCUCUUCUUCUCAUAAAAUGUAGAGAUCAUAAACAUGUGGAGUAGGUGUUGAAUCAUUACUUCACCCUUUGCUUAAAAUUAACCCUUCACAAUACUUCAAUCAUUUGAUGCUUAAUUAUCAAAAUAAAUUAAUGGCAAAAGGAAAGAGCCAUAUACAUUGUACAAAAAAAGAAAAAGAAAAAAGAAAAAAGAAAAGUAGGGGUGGGGCCAAACUUUCUCCAUGAGCUUGUGGUUUUCAAUUAGUUGUCAUUAGUGUUUAGUAUCUUGUAGAUGUUAGGUCAGGUCUCUAGCCAAAGAAAGGUUUAUUGAAUACAUGUGGACUUAAUUUGUUCAAUUAAGAUCUUAUAAUUAAUGCAAUCACACCCCAUUUAUCUUUGCUAACAUAGAUAUUUUCCAAACUCGAAUUAAGCUCUAGAUUUGGUUUCCAUUAUUUUUUAUGAUUUACCGAAGCUAACGCAACAAUACUGCUUAGACCUAUUAAUAAUAAGAAAUACUUAAACUAGAGUGUGUCAAACUUCUCACCAGUAGCUGGUCAGCCAUGUUUUAAAAGCGAUCCUCUACCCCUUCUUCUUUUCUUAAUUUAUUUCUUUUCCACCCCAGCCUCUACGCUCUUCUUAUGCUUGUUACUUUUUUUUUUGCCUGUAUUUUUGUCUGUUUCUCGGAAGCCCAAGCUGCUUCCAACAUGUAUGCCCAGUUCAUUUAACUUAAUGAAUGAAUCAGCUAGCUCGCUACCUAUUUCUCAAAAAAAAAAAAAAAGAAAUCUUAAACUGAGUUACUAGUACUAUUAUUCUGCGAAUUACCCUUUCCCUUUUUGAGUAUGACUAAUUAGGUGUAAGCCACACUAACGAAAUAAAGUAAGUUAUCAGCAGCUGAGAUAUUGAGUCUUCAGCUGAUAAUUUGCUAGUGCGUCAUUCAACCGAGUUGCAUUCUCUCUAUUUCUAAAAAAGGUUAGUGGUUAUAUAUUUUCAACGCUUUCUCAACAUCUUCCAACACGAAACUACUACUUUUUUCGGUGUGACAUAUGCAAGGAUAUAUAUAUAUAUAUCCUUCAUGGAAAAAGAAACAAUAGAUCUUAUCUUGCUUUACAUGCAUGGGAGAUAUUAAAAAUCAUGGUCAUGUCACCUUCAAAGGAUUAAAAGAAGGUAGGCCUAACAUGUGCAGAUAUAGCUGAUCAUCAUAUAUCCAAUAAUAUUGCUUUAAUUGGUAGUAAUUCAUGCAUGAUUAUGAGUGGUCAUCGGUCCAUGUUUUAAUUGCUGGACCCAUGAAACUAAUGACUAGCUAGUUCGACCAAUGUGUGCGCUAUGUAUCGACGUGUGCCCAACCAUGACCACACUUGUUUCAGGCUCAAUUUUGAGUCGUGAAAUUAAGCAAAUGUUUGGUUGGAGCGCUCUCACUUUUUCUUUUGUGGCCCCAGCGCACGUGCGCGUGCAUGUGUGUGAGCUACUACAUGAAUGCACCUCAUAAGGCCAGGAUCCUUGUAAGGUGAUAUGGUCCACCUUCAAAACAUAAUAUUGGCUCAUCCAGAGUGUAGUAAGUUGCACUUAAUGAGAGAAAGAGAGAGAGAACCUCAUAUAUAUCAGGUGCUUAAAUGCAUGUUGAGCUGGUGAUAGCAAAAACUCAUCUCUCAAUCAUUGAUGCUUGAUUCAUUGCUGAUCCAAUAAAUCUUUUGAAUAUAUGAUGGAACGAUCAUGAUUGAUUUGAUUUAAUGUGAUAUUUAUGAUUCUAUGACGCACGUGGAAUCUUGCUGUUUGAGAAUAAGUGCUCGAUCGAUCGCGUUGUCUUUAAAACAAUUUUUCUAUUCCAAUGAGUGGCAAUCGUGCACUAUUUAACAAACAAAAUUUACUAUGGCAAGAAGUUAAAAUAAACUUUUAGAUUACUAGUUUUCCAUAGCACAUAUAUGCAGGUCCGCCAGAAUUAAUUCUCUCGGCAUCGUUGACGGAUAACAUUCAUGCACAACCAUGAUCUCAAAGCCUAUCGACUUACACCGCGUUUUAGAAUCAGUAAGCUCUUGCAUUAUUUGCUUGAUUUGGUUUAGUGGAUUUAAGAAAUGUUUAAGUAAAUCCUUCAUUUAUUGUAAAAAGAAAAAUUUUGUAAUCAACAAUAGAGUCGGUUACUUACGAUUUACGAACUAGCAUGGUUCUUUGCAGAGUUCCAAUGGACUCGGCACCGCAAACAAGCCACUUGCCGACUUUCUCCUACUCCGAGGAGUCGGCGAGCUUUCGACCUCGGCGCCGUCUUCGUUCAUUCGUAAGCACCAAGAAAACAGAUUGCGGCGGAUGCAUUGAGGAAAUUAUUGGCAGUGCCUGGUUUACCACGUCAGCCAUAGACUGUACAGCAUUUACUGUCAAUCUCUAUAUACGUUUUAAACUUUCGCCCUUCAUUAAAUUUCAUCAUAUCUUUUUUUUUUUAUAACAAUUAUUUACUAUAUAUAUAUAAUUUGAGGAUAAGUUAUAAUUUUAAAUUUAAUUGUAUAGUCAAAUUUUAAUUUUUAAUUUUUUAUAGUUAAACUUAGAACUAAAAAGUUUUAUCUAAUUCCUCUUAUUUUUUUUGCAGUCCACGGAUGACGUGGUGAACUUCGUCCACGCAACAAUUUUUCCCGGAGAAGUAAAGCGGUGCAAGAGAGAGAGAAGCAGAGAACGCUAUAGAACGCCGUAUAAAGGGCGUAGGGGAUUGAACGAAACCGUAACCUUAAACCCUAGGGCAGAGGAGAUCGAGAUCGAGAGAGAGAGAGAGAGAGAGAGAGCAAUGGCGACGGAGAGCUCGGCCAUGGCGGUGAUCAGGGCCUCGCGCCCCUUCUUUCGCAACUCCCACGACAAGGUCGCCUUCGCCGUCCACGCCUCCUUCCUCGCCGCCGGCUACUCCCUCGCCGCCGCCGGGAAGAGCGCCUUCACCGAUCACCUCCCCUCCGGUUGGUAUCAAUUCCCUCCCCGAUCCCAUCUCUCUUUGAAACCCUCGGGUUCCGAUCUAAUUCCUCUUUGUUUGAUUUGUUGUUUGUGUUGCAUUGCAGGGGAGGAGGAGGUGGGAAUCGAUGGGUGGAACGAGCUUGAAGAUCGCUACGCUUUUGUUUACUUUAAGAAUGAGAAGGGGGUAAAAAAGCGAGUUCUGGUCAAGUGCUUGGCGAUUGGAGAUAAGCUCGCUGUAGAUGUGCUGAACCUUGAAGGGGAGCAAAAGGAACCUCUUCAUCUCCAAAUCAAGUAUGGAUUCGUUUGUAAAAAUUGAAACCUUUUCCUUUUUUUUGGGCAAUUUGUGUGGUUAUUGUUGAUUCUGUGUUACUGUUCGUGGUUGCAGUGUGAAGGAUUACUUGUCUGACGAUGGUGUUGAUCAACCGAGAAAUUAUGGGGAUAUGUACAAGGAUCUUAAGGGCCUUGUUGAGAGCUUGAAGUCUAGUGUUUUGGAUAAAUUGGAGGAUGGAUAUGAACGAAAAUUGAAUGCCAAAGUCGAGACCUCUUCAUCUUCUCGCAGGUCUCUUCAACUUGAAAUUUGGAUCUCUGAGUUUAAUAUACUAGUUUUAAUCAUUAAAUUCUUGUGCCAUUUAACUUAUUAGAAAAAUUACUUUGAAAACUGAUUUGAGAAAUGCAUAGAAGCCUCUUAGAGAUAUGUGUUAACGGUGUUAAUUGCUUGGUGAUUUAAGAUUUGUGAUGUGGUUGUUAUGCAACAAGGUUUGUCUGUUUAAAUGUUUUGUAUGUACCAGCGAUAUCUGCUAUGUGACAUUGAUAUAUUAUUCGACAGGUAGACUGGUUUCUUUGUGCAACACCAUUCUCCUUUCAACUGACAAAUCAUGUAUAAACUAUAUAACCAAUUGAGUGUAGUUCAGUAUAAUUGUGGGUUUGUAAAGGUUUAUUAGUUACUUGGUGCUCUAUCACAGAUCAUGCAUUGGAGAUUUGUGGAAGUACAAUAAAAGCAUAACAGUGUAGCAUAAUGCUUUGGCAGUAUUGGGGUAGUUGGGUGUUGGAAGGAGCAACUUUGAAAGAUUUAGGUUAUAAAUUUAGCACAGGAGAGAGAUUAAUUGAUAAUUAGGGAAGUUGAAUAAGGGCCAAGUUUCUGUAGGUAAUUAGUGGGCUUCGAGACAAGAUGUUAGUAGGUGUAGAGGCAUUUGAACUUGUGUCAAAGUGAAUUUGGAAGAAUAUGUGAUAAUUCAUGACAUGAAUGAACAAUAUCACAGGUUGAUAUGCUUUUAAGAAACAUUUCACUUUCUCACGAUACAACUUGAUGCAUGUGUAUUGAGUAGGUCUCUGGUUGGUUGCCCCCCCUCCCUACUAUACUGUGGUUGCAUUCGUGUAUGCUCGUAUAUCAUGAUUAAUUGCUAUUUUUUAUGGCACAACACGACAAUUUUGUGGCUUAUUCUCUGUUUUCCAGUUAUGAAGGGCCUGAUAUAGACUUAAACACUCCUGAAUCGGUUGUGGGAGUUCCAGCUGAGGAUCAGCGUCAACCACCAAAGUAGGUGCUUUGAGUCCUUUUCUGCUUUUUAUUUGCAGUUGCAUGGUAUUCUAGUUCUAUCCUUUAUUUAUUUUCUUUAUAUGAUUGUAAUAAUAAACUUCCAAAUCUGGAUCAACCACAAAUUUAAGGGCAAGUAAAGAUAAAAAGGGAAUGUAUUUACUUGCAAUAACAGUUGUUACUUGCAACAACAGUUGUUACUUGCAAUAGCAGUUGCUAGACGGACUUCUCACUAAGUCAUCAUGAGUAUUCGACUCACAGCCUAGGUCUACCGCUAAAUCUAUGGCACUAGAGGUAGUAAAAGGCUGUGCUCGAGGGGUUCAAAUGUAAAUACAACUGGCAAGGGUAGUGCUCAGUUUGGUCAUCCUCUUAGUGUAUGCAUGUGUUUGUGAACAAGAUGAAGAGAACUGAUACGAAAAGAAUUCAUCAAUUUGCUUGCUAACAACUUUUUACAUGGACACAUCUGAUAAGAAAGAUAUCUAGGAGGGAAAGAAAAGGCCGGGAAUGAGAGAAAAGACAAAUAAGAAUGUCUGAUGUAGAUUAGAUUGACCUUGAGCAGGACCGUUAGCUGAGUUGGCAAUUAAAUGAGUUCUUAGUAAUUUAUUGUGUCGUUGAUUAUAUAUGGGUAAUAAUGUGAUGUCUGCCGUAAGGGUUUCGGAAUUACAAAAGAGAAAUAAAAAUGAAUGUUGACACUUUUAGCUUGGUAUUGCGUCUUAAUUCUCAACCAGUCUGAAUACACUUUAUUUCCCUCUAGCUUUAAUGUUGUUAAUAUUUUUAAUGUGAUUUCACUUUGUUUCAGCUAACAUAUAAUAGAAUUGAAACAUUUUUUUAAUUCAUAUUUGGUCAUAUUUUAUCUUUGUAUGUAGUAUUGUAUAUCCUCCAGUUCCCCCAUUUGACUACAAUGACGCGAUCCCUGGGGCUGGUGCUGGGUUUUAUCCUAACAGGUUUGUUUUCGAGCCUCACCAUAUUUAUGUCGUAUAAUUUACUAUCCAAUCUAUGAUCUCAUAUGAUCAUAUUCAUUCAUUUCAGGGGUCCCGGAAUCGGUGGAGACAUGCUCGUAGGUAAUUAACUUAUUCUUCAGUUAUACAAUAUCGGAUUACUUCAAUUAAUUCUUAGAAAUUUGCUUAAUGCUCUUAUCAUUGCACAGGGCCAAAUAAUCCAAUCUUUUUCCCUCCUGGUGGACGCCCUGAUACUCUAGGUGGAUUGCCGUGAGUAACAUCUAUUUAUUUUUCUGUAUCAUCAAAAUCUGCUUAUCUUGUCCAAAUCUACAGAAUCAUUUUGUAUUAAAGGUACUAAUACAUGUAAAUCUGAUACAGUGGUGUACCUCCUGGUGCUCGGUUCGAUCCCAUUGGUCCUCCUGAUGUUCCAGGCUUUGAGCCUGGUCGCUUUGUCAGGUACACUUCAAUAGAUAUUUAAGCAACUAAUAGAUGAACCAAGUUUUGUGGCCACAAAGUAUUCAUUAUCUGAUGUUCGCCUAUAAGAUUAAAAAAACCAUAGCAUGCUUAUUGUAGACAUUGUUUAUUUUCGCCUGUCUGGUUAUCUUAUAAAUUGCUUCUUAUUUUAAUAUGUUGGUGCGGUAAAUUUCUGUUUCUGAUAAGCCUCUGCUGUAAAUUCUAUGCAGGCGUCAGCGGAGGCCCGGCGGCGGUACUCAUCCAGAUCUUGAAUUCUUCCAACAAGGCCCUGACUUCAUAUAGAGUGUUGCCUCAGUUGCGCGGCAAUUUUGCGUUUUCACCAUGGUUUUGAUGCAUGCAUAUGUUUGCCGCAUAUAUAGCUGACAGACAUAUACCUGACAGACAGUGCAAUAAGUUUCCUUUCUGUUGCAUCUAAAUAUAUGACAAAAAAGAUGUUCUAUGGUGUUAUACUCCUGUGAAUGUGGUGCACUGUGUCCUUUCAUUACCAUGUUCUGCUUUUAGUAGCAUCAUGAACUCUUCUGAGUUCCUUGAGCCAAUUAGGGUGAUCUCUCUUCUUAGAUCCACUUUUGCUUGUGGGACGUCAUCAUCAUUAAUGAAUUUUUAGAGCCUUAAAAGACAGUUUUAUUUUAGUGCUUCUGAUGUGUUUUAUAUGGAGAGAACCUGUUGGUGAGAUAUAUUUGAUAUAUUGCUUCUUUCCUAUUGUAGUAUUUGCGAAGUACUUUUUCUAACAACACUGCACUGUAAAUCAGGCUGGAACAUAAAAGUAAAAUAAAAUUAGCAAGCCAAAAGGCUGGAACAUAAAAAAAAAAAAAAAAAAAAAAAAAAAAAAAAAAAAAAAAAAAAAAAAAAAAAAAAAAAAAAAAAAAAAAAAAAAAAAAAAAAAAAAAAAAAAAAAA